Molecule: long non-coding RNA, 56455 nt
Filed under: Ananas comosus (pineapple)
Lineage: Eukaryota; Viridiplantae; Streptophyta; Magnoliopsida; Poales; Bromeliaceae
Description: long non-coding RNA (ACOM_LNC025086)
Source: RNAcentral
UAUAGGACAAUUAAUGGUGAGGGUGUUGGAUGGGAGGAAUUCUACACUGUCACACUUGUAUCACGUCAUCAAUAACAAGCCAAUUACAUUCCUUCUUUUCAAAUAAAAGUACAAUAAAAAUAUUUUUUUACAAUCAUGAUGGGACAUAUAUUCUUAAAAAGAUUAAUUUGAUUGGUUUGUUACGCCACGUCACUAAUAUACCCGUUGCAUUCUAGAAUUUUUCGUUGGAUGGGCCGUUGCUAUAUAUCGAGGCUCUGCUGUUACAAGUUUCCAAAGGUUACGAAUUAUUAGCUUUCUUUUUUUCAAAAAAAAAAAGUUUUUUUUUACCUCAAUUAAUAGUUGCUAAAUUGGGCUUUUUUCCACCCACUCUCGAGAUAGACCCAAAUCUUACAAUCACAGUAAUGGGAUGAUUUUAGGCCUAAUUCCUGCCCAUGUUACACCAGAUAUCGUCUCAAAAUGGCCUAGCCUGCUUAAGUUCAAAGCCCUAACCACCUUCUCUGGCCCACUUAAUUUUCAAUCCCCCAUCAAUUUGAAUUUCUUUCUUCAAUGAAUAAUAUGUACACAUCCACAGUCAUUUUUUUAAUAUAAAAAUAAGUUUAGUAAUUUAGAUUAAUAACGGGAGCUAGAUAAAGAACGUUGAACCUCUUAAUAUUAAGAAAUUUCUACAAAGAACUUUUUAUAUUUCGUUUGUUUAUAUAUUUGGCUUGACUCACAUGAAAGUAGAGCCAACAGCUCUAACAACAUAGGCCCUCUUGGGCCGAUAUGCUGUGGGCCCUCUUCUCCACCAUAGGGUCCAACCUGCGAGAUGGCUUUGUAUGUUCUUGCCGGCCCGUGACCUAUCCGGCCCGAUCUACCAUAGUUCAUUACUAGCUUAUGUGCACAUUGGACCGCCUGCGUUCAACCCUCCAAUUUGAAUAGGGAACCAUGACCUCUUGAUCAAAGGCAUCCCAAAAGGCAGUGGUAUAUUUGUUUAGUAAUGUAACCAAAUAAUAUAUAUAUAAUAAUGAUACCCACUGUUUCUACCGCAAAUGAUAAAAGAAUUGAUGGUAUGGUACCUUAGAUGUCAACUUCAAAUUUUAAUUAUUUCAUAUUUUCAGCAAAAAAAAAAAAUAAAAUUAUACAAUAACAGUUACCAAUCAUACAUAAAGGAUCGAGUUGGGGGAGAAACAUAAUUGAUAAUCUACUGACCAGUCAACGAGCACAGUUUAUUUUAUUUAACAUAAAACCUUUUAAGAACAUGACGUGAACAAAUUAUAGUCGAAUUUAUUCGUCAGCUCAUUAAUCAAUACGGCACUGUUAAAAGAAGAUAUAUAUUGUUCGCUCUCCACCCACACUUUCAACUUAUCCCUUGUUUCUACCGGUGGAAGAAGCGCUAUAAUUACUACACCACGACCAUUUUUUCAAUCUACGUACGUCGCAAGACACUUUAAUUUCUUAACAAAUUAAAUUAUCGAAAAUAAAACAGUUUAUUAAUUUCAGGAUCGAAGGAUUAACUAGUGCGCAUGGCCAUGCACCCAUGCAACUACUAGCUAGCACCUUAGUAAACUGUGGACUCCGUGACCAUGGCGAUCCCGGCGUCGGCGCUUUUGCCGAACCUCGCGACGGCACAGUCGGUGGAGAAGAUGCCGGAGGAAACGAAGUUGGGGGCCCCGCCCAUGACCGGCAUGUUCGCCCGCACGUUGAGCUUGUUUAUGUAAUCCGGCCGGUAGGUUUGGCCGAGCACGCCAUGCACGUCGGGGCCGAGCGAGUAGAAUUUAAAUGCGAUGUCAAGGUGGGCCAGGCUGUCAUCUUCGGUGACGCCGUAGUUGUGGAUCCGAGAGUCCUCCUUCGUGAUCGGGACCGCGCCCGCCAUUAACUUGAACUUGCCCUCCAGCUGCACCACCACUGCGUUCGUGGCCUUCGUCCUCGUGAUCGACAGGGCGGGGACGGACGUCGACCCCCAUCUGGCGUUCAGCUCGUUCGGAACGUAGACGGGCUCGCCGUCGAAGGUGAUCAUGAGGCGGUCGACGUCGUCGUCCCACGUCACGGUCUUCUGCGCGCCUACGUAGAGGCUGUGGCCGCCGAAGCGCAUACCGAGGGCCUGCACCCACGUGAAGUCGCGCUUCAUGUCGUCGUUGCGUUUCCCGAUGAAACGGGCGUUGAUGUGGAGGUCGGAGUCGGAGACGAGGCAGAAGUCGGCAUCCUUUUUGCCGUGGAAGUAGAAGGUGUUGCCGUCGCCGCCGGUGAAUCGUGGGUCGCCACAGACGAAUCCCGGGAUCUUCAAGUCGCAAGCUGCGCAUGCCAACCAACAAAAAUUAUCGUAAAACAAACAUACACCACAUUAAGAACAAAAUCUCUCUCUCUCUCUCUCUCUCUCUCUCUCUCUCUCUCUCUCUCUCUAUAUAUAUAUAUAUACACACGAAUAGACUCGAACGGUGAAACGGAAAUCACCACCGUCGAUCAUAAUACCCGAAAAAGAGAUUUCUUUUUUUUUUUUGAAAAAAAAAAGAAAUGAAUCUAGUAAGGCUUGUAAGCACUCACGGCAGAAGGUCCUGCAAGUGGGGCAGAAGACCAAGCAAGAUUCGGAGCAUUUGUCAGGGCAAGUGGCGUUGCAGCCGGGCUUAUUCUUUCUUCCGUCAGAGCAUGUCAACUCGAAAUUCUUUUUGCCACCGAGGUGGCCGCCACUGAUGACCUGGAAGUUCGGCGGCGGCUGCGGCUGUCCCGACGAGGCCACUGCGAGGGCCGCCACAGAGGCGCACACUAGCAGAAGCGCCACGCCCCGCCGCGCCAUCGCCGCCGCAACUCCUGUGUGGUGGUGUUAUACUUAAAAACCACCUAAAUAAAGCUCAACUAGCUAUGCUGUGGCUUAUUUACUCGGCUAUGUGGAGUUCUGUGUGGUGCGAUGUUCAGAAGUGUUGGGUUGCCCUUUUUAUAGCUCCACAACGGACACGGCCGUUGACUUUGUGGCCUAAUAUCGUACGUCCGAAUUUAAGCAAAUAAAAAAAUUGUCAAAAUUAAUGGCAAAUUUGCCAAUACUAUACAUUCGCGGCCUAAGCGUCCAUGUGGGGAUUGCGCUCCGGAAUCUCGUGGUUAGCUUUCAAUUCUACGUAGCAAGAUUUGCGGGUCAACUGCGAGUGGAUCGUUCGAUAUGGGACAAGUUGACUCGAGAUUAGAGUUCGGAUCCCAGACCAAUCUGGCUCUAGUCAAAGUACACGGGGUUUUGCUUUUUUUGGUUCCGGAAAAAAUGUACGAGGACCCCUGGACUGUGCGCCAUAUUGUAGUUUAGUUAUUUUUUGAAGAAAAUUUUAUUUGUCUUAAUGUUAAUUACCAUUCUGGUUGAUUAUAAAUUUUUCUAAAAUGAAAAACUUUAAUAAUUAUUGAUCAUUAACUGUUAAUAAACUCCACGUACGUUCACAUAUUCCGACUGGAAAGAGCUGAAACAGUCGAUGUAUUUUAAAUUCUUUCAAAGUAUUUUAAUUUUUCAAAGUAUAUAGUUCUAUGCUCAUUAUUUCAGCUAAUUAAUGCGGGGGAUGGAAUUUGAGCGGAAGUAAAUUUUUAAUGAUUUGUAUUUCCUUUAUUUUGAUGAUGGAAAUAUAAAUAUAUAAGGAAGUUUUAAUAACAUAGUUAUCUUCACUAUACAUAUUUUACUUUCAUGUAGAUCCAAAAUUACGCACAACAUAACUCGAAACUAACUAAUGAAUUCGCAGGGAAAAUCUUUAAAUCAAACAAGAAAAGAGAGGGUAUGUCGAAAUUCCCUACAGUUGAGGGGCCUCCGUGCAUUGUAUUCCCCCCAAUUUUCUCUUCUCUCUCGAAAGCCAUAAAGUACGUGAAAGUUUUAAUGUGGUGUCGGAGGAUUCAAUUAAGCUGGAUCCUUCCCCGCGCUGCGAACCAGCUAGCUCUUUGUUACGCGUAGAUUGGAGCCCAGAGAGAAAACGAAAAGCUUACUUGGGAGAUGAACGCCAGCACGUGGCAACAUCGAUCACGUAGAAUUAACUUUCUUGGAUUGUAUGAUUUUUUUUCUUUCUUUCUUUUUGUCCCCCUUGUUUGCUCUUCUUAUUCAUCAAUUCUUUAAGUUUUAUUAGUCAUAAGCCAACAUCUAUAAGAUCUAACUAGUUGUAAUCUCCUGCUGCAGAAGAUUACAGGUAAAAUGAGUUACGUACAGUAAAAAAAUAUAUAUAAUACAAAAAUAUUUUAUAGUGUUAUUAUUAUUUGGUAUAGAGUUUUUUUUUUUUUGAGAGAGAAUUAUUUGGUAUAGACAUAACCUUUUGGAUCCAAGUAAGGAAAAUUUUAUAUUUAUUAUACAUUCAUUCUCUCUCUUUAUUUGUUGGAUGGAGACGAGCGUGAAGGGCCACCAACGCGCUGCGCACGCACCGUCCAUCGUGUUGUACCAUCGAGAUUGGCGAGGGGAACAGCCUCUUAGAUGGCUGUGAUUACUUUAAUUGCUCUUACAACCUCAACACCUGUAUAGUCAACUGCGUGUUGAAGUAUAUCGACAAUAUAAAAUUCGUCAAUUGAAUGGUAAUUAAGUCACCACAGCUGUAAUCAGGCACAAAGUUCGAGACCAUAGUAAUCAAUUCAGAAAACUGAAGUAUUAGCCUAAUUCUUGGGCAAUUUUUUUUGUUGGUUUGGGUUAAGACCCGAUCCGAUAGUAUUAGAUAGUGUUUAUUCCAGAAAUUCAAAUUUUACAAAAUAGCUGUUAGCUGUUGUAAAGAAGAAAGUUUAGGAUGCUAGGAUGAGUUCAUUUAACAGUUUUUUAAUAACUUUAAAUCAAAUUUUUACUGUGUUUUAUAGAUUAUUAUGUACCCUUUGUAGUGUUACUAGUGUAAUUUGUUUAUCGGCUUGGGUCAGGUUGUUUCUAGUGAGGUUCGGAAUAAGUGGGAGCAAGUUUAAACAAGGGUCUAAUAAGGAUUUUUAAAAAAAAAAAUAAAUCAGAACCCAAUCCAAGGCACCGGAUUAAGCCCAACUGAACCGUGAGAGGUGGUGUCGGACACAUGGUUGUGAUGGAUACAAACAAACAUUUUAAUGUUGUUAGGCAUCUCACUGGCUUUAGUACCUCUGGAAGUGAAGCCCAAACUCCAAAGACAGCUAAAUAAUAAUAUUUAACUCUCGAUCUAAACUAAAUUUGGAGACUAGCAAAGCUUAAUUAUUAGACUUUUAACCUAUAAAUGAUUUACGUGAUGACUCCCUAUAAAAAGUCCUAUUAAGACCUUGCAAAUCUAAUUAGAUCGAGUAAAGCAUGUGCCCAUACUGAAUUUCCGGGUACGGUACAGCCGAUCAUUGGAGCACUACACCCUAGCAAAGUCCGCGACUUGGAUCGAGUUCAAUCUGAAUUUGCCUGAGCUAAUUGAUUCAGUACAUAGCACUGGAUUGUCAAUAGAGAGCUUGACUAGGCAAGUAGGCAAGGUUUAGGAAGUUUAACCCUCCCUCAGUUUACCAUGGUUGGGAAUUCAAUGCGAAGUCAAUCGACUACGAUGCAAUUAAGCCCAGUACCACCUACCACAAAUUAUCAUUAAUAUAUGAUAAAAAAAUAAACAGCAUGCACGGUGCUAAGGCUCCGCAGAAGGGUUGGUGCAGGUUAUGAUCGACUCCUAUUGUAAAUUUGUAGAUUGAGUUAGUUCUAAUCUGCCUUCAAAACUGCAAUUUUACUAGGGUUGUGCUUAUUCUAUCUUGAAUGAGACAUUUUGAAAACUUUCAAGGCCGGCCACAUCUAAUUUGCUACGUAGAGACGGAGAGACAUUCCAGGUUAGUUUGCUCAGCAGUGUGGCCUAUACUUCCUUUUACUCUGAUUUUCAACUUUCUUAUAAUCUAUUUUGUGUACAACUAAGACAAAACUUAGUGAUGCAUUCAGCAAAAAGAUAAUGAAAAAAUAUAUAUAUAAAGCAAAUUUUUUAGGAGAGCAAUAACUCGUCAAAAUGAGCUACUAGUUGGUAACCCAGCCAAAAGUCCAAAAAGGUCCAAAUCCAAGUGCCAAGUCUAAGGAGACCACCGACCAUCCCUAGAGUAAGUGGUAAAGGAUUUGGUAGUUGGUACCCGAGACCCAAGUUCGAAUCCUAAUUGAUUCACAUUUUCAGCUAAGUUUAUUUCUAAAUGAAAUAAAUGAAGCGGAUAGCGUGCUAUCUAUCUCUCUCUCUCAAAAAAAAAAAAAAAGUCUAAGGAGACCUAUGAUGUCUUUCCGAGUAGGCCUAGAAAAAUUUACUUUCAAAAUGAUUUUUUUUUUUUUUUUAAGCGCAUGCAUAUUGAUAGUCCUCUCCAGACUUCAGACGAAAUUCAUUCCCGUACUGAUGAGCAACAAAAAAAAAUCCGCACCCUUUUUUGUAGGGACAUUGUUGUCUCAUGUUGGAGCCACAUUAAUUACCAAGAAGCUUACAGAGUUGUUGCUCACGCUAAAUUUCGUAUUGAGAUCCAUCCUACAUUAUAGAGAUAAAAUUAAGAUGGGAUAAAACUACAUAGAAAUAUGUUUCUAUGUUUUUCAGUAGGACCGUAGAAAAUAUAUCGUACUCGACUUCUCAUAAUAUGCGGAACGCAUAUUAAGUACGAAAAGAAAUAUGAUAUUGUUUCAUCGUAUUUUCUCACCACACAUAACACAAUUUUUUCGCAAUUCCAAACGAAGUCCGUGAUUCUAAUGGGCCCAACCCAGACUUUCAGCUAUUUGUGUUUAGAUAAUAAAGAUUGCCAAUCUCACAAAUACUACCAAGACCUGAAAAUUAGAAAUUUGGAGGAAAUAACAGGUAAUCCUCGUGUAAAAACUACUAUUGCAAAUUGACGGAAUUCGCCAAUUAUUUGGUUAACCACCGGCCGAGUAGUGGUCUGCGUCGCCGCACAAUUCAGACACUGUUUGUGUCACAACCCUCACUCUUUAUAUGCCGUCACUUUUCGUUGGUUGCAGCGCGAGUAAGGCGCGUGCAUUGAGUCGUCGGCAUGUGAUUAACCUUUCAUUUUGUACGUUAACACAAAAACAUGAGUGCUUCGGAGGUAGCAUAUAUUGAGCAAAAUGCAGCGCAAAGCUAGCGAACCCCAAAACUAACACAACACGGGGAGCUGCGCUCCUUUUCUGUAUCUUGAAUUGUCGUCAAAGUGGUUUCACACGGGGCCUGCGCAUGUGAGGCCAGUCGGCUAGCAACCAACAUAGGCCUUGAGUAGGCCUAUGUUGUUCGGAUGGCAGGCGUGAUGGGCUGGCUGCAAGUCCUACAACAAAACACGAAACCUCUGACGAGACUUGACAUGUCUGGUCAUGUUCAUUCGACUGAAAGCCUAAACAGAUAUUGGGCCUGGCCCAUUAGUUAGCAUUUACUUUGGGAAGAAAUGAUUUUGAACCCGUUUUUUCUUUUUCUUUUUUUUUAACUUUUUAGCCUUGUCUUUCGUGUAGUAGUGACACUACCUUACUAUAUCUUAGACCAAUCAAAAUUUUCAUUAUAAAAAAAAAAAAAUAAUGUAUGUUUUUAAAAAAUAUAAUAGAAUUGGUGAAUUUUAUAGACAAAUUUGAUAGAUUAAAAACAUACGUGAUGUGAGAUCACUGUCAUACAUAAAUAUAUUAGCAUUAAUUUUUUUGACAAUUUAAAGGAAAAUCUUCUGCAGUCGGUGAGAUAUCAUGAGGUGAAAGGCCCCAUGAAACAAUUUCCUUCAACUAAAACAUUAUGGCAUUAGUGAUCUUGAAAUAAAUAUAAAUAUACAUACAUUAGCCUUUACUUUUGUGAUUAUUGAAGAAAAUCUACCGUACAAGGUGUGAUAUUCAUAGGGUUAGAGGGAUAAAAAUUUUAUGGGCAUAGUCUCCAAACUAAUUAGUUUGAGAAUUGUGCGGAUCGGCGCCACGUGGCCGUCGGAUCGGCCACAGAUGGAAAGGAAAAAAAAAAAAAUUAUGCCCAUAAAAUUUUUGUCAGGAUUAGAGGCCUCAAAAAAAUUUGCCUCCAACUAAAGCAUCACGGCAUUCAUGAUAGUGAAAUAAAAUAUAAGUUAAAAAAAAAAAGUUACAAUUACUUUUAAUAUUUACGGAUAAACUCAGCAUCACCACACAUAUAUAUAUAUAUAUAUAUAUAUAUAUAUAUAUAUAUAUAUAUAUAUAUAUAUAUAUAUAUAUAUANAUAUAUAUAUAUAUAGUCCGUCUUCCGUACUUUCGAAAGUACGGGAGGCCCCGUGCUUGUAAGUUGUUUUCGAUGAUAGGACGUUUGAUUCGACGAUCGGCUCCGUUAGGUAUGAUCUACCCUAUUGGAACUAUUUAGAAAUCAAAUUUUAAAUUUUUUUGACAUCAAUUACUAAGCGAUCAAAAGGUCUAAAAAAUGACUAUUUUAACGGUUGAUGUGGCACAUUUUUAAGUUCAACGGUGUAGAAGUAUUCAAAUUACAUGAAAAUUUAUUAGAAAAUUCUACUUAACAUCAGUAGCAAAAUCAAUACUUUCGAUUUAAAAUUUGAAUCCUUUAUCACUGUGUUUUAUGAGAUUUUCAUUUUCAACCGUUCAUUUUGAGGCUACUCGUUCACUAGACAAACGAAAUCAAAAAAUUAUGAAAUUUGGUUUCUAGAUAGUUCCAAUAGCGUAGAUCAAGUUUAACUGAACCGAUCGCCGAAUCGGAUAUCCCAUCAUCGAAAACAACUUACAAGUACGGAGCUUUCCGUACUUUCGAAAGCAUAGAAGUCUAGCUCUAUAUAUAUAUAUCAUUUUACUAUAUUUUUCUUGUUGGCGUGUUAACUCGAUACCAAAAUGCCAGAGUGCGUAUAUGAACGCCUUUCAAUAAAAAAUUAGUAAAAAGUGGGAGAUCUACUAGCAAGUGGGAAACUAAAAUCAACACCAAAACGCGUGAUCUACAAUUGGAUAGAUCCCCUAGAAAAUUUACAUCCCCCCUCCUUUUUUUGUCAUAAAAUACUCCAUAUUUAAUUUUUUCUGCCAGCAUAGUUCAUUAGAAGUUUGAUUCGGCCUUCUGAUCAAUUAAUCUUCAUCAUAUUAAUUUAACAGCUCUGUAAUAAUUUUAUUAUUUAUUUAGAAAUAAGUUUAUUAAUUUCACAUCUGCAAAUUGAAGUAGCCCUGCAAUUAAUUUACGCAGCGCAAUAAAAAAAAGAAACUCCAUGCAUAUUUACAUGAUCUGUAAUCAACAUAAAGAGCUACCCACAAAUGUCGAGUCUACAGGGUUGAUUAUAUAUCCUAAGACACUUCGUCAAAGAGUGUGUUCAAUUGAUCCAUAAUAUUGUCAAAGCAAUGUGUACGUGCGUGUCGCUUGUUAUUUACAGCUCGGCCUCCGCGGCAGCGGUGGGUUGACACGCGCUGGAUUUGCUUAAGCUCUCCAACAAGAGCUCGUCGCGGACGGUGGAGUCGGUGUCGUCGUUGCGGUGCCACGACCACUGAGCGUUCACGCCGUUCAGUACCUUCAGGCGACCGUGCCCGAAGCUCGCCUCGCGGAACUGCGAGAGAUGCGCAGACUUGUGGUUCUUAUUAAAACUUCAGACAUCAAGAAAGAGAAAAAAAAAAAAAGGAGUUAGGAUUUCGAACUUAAAGAUUAAUUUGAAAGUAUGCAUGUGGAUAUGGAUAUGAAUUACUACUUACUCUAGUGCAAGACCUUCUCUAUUCCCUCCGUCACCAAUGGUUAUGUACACAGGGCCACAGCUGUUCGCUUCAUUGUUAUAAAUCCUUGUCUGCAAGCGAAAAUAAAUAUAUGCAUUUUGAAUAAGCAAAUAAAUUUCUAAACAAUUUGUCAUAAUGAUAUAAUGGCGGCACUUAGAGCAAGUAUAAAAAAUUUGAUGAUUGAAAUUUAAAAAUUAAUUAUUUUAUAUUUUCAGCUAAAUUGAUUUCAUGCUUUCUUUCUCUCUCUUGAAAAAAAAUGCAAACAAAAAUAAUAUUAAAUCGUUUAUGAAUUUAUAUUCCUUUUUGAAAUUUAAUUAGUUAGUUAGAAUUUAUAUAUAAGAAAUGCAUCAAUACACCGGCUAAAUUUGACUUCAAACUAAUUACCUUUUUACUAUUAAUUUCCACUAGCAAUCCUAUCAAACGCUAUUUUUAUUUUUUUAUUUUCUAUAUAUAUAUAUAUAUAUAUAUAUAUAUGUUUAGUAUUAUUGUUCGCGUUUAUUUCAAUAGUUAUACUCGUCUAGGAUUAAUUAAACAAGAAUAACUUGCUACAGCUAAGAAAAUGUUUAAUAUUCAACUUACGAAGCGCUCGUAUGCGUGGACGUGGCCGGCAAAGACGACGUCGACGCGUGCACCGUACAGCAGCUCCUCCAUGGCCUUCCUCAUGUUCUCGCCCUCGCCCUGGUGCGCGGUGUUGGUGUUGUACCACGGCGCAUGCAGGAGCACGAUGAGCCAGGGGGUCCUCCCGCGGUCCACCUUGGCCAGAUCAUUCACGAGCCACUUGUACUGGUCGGAGUCGGGCCCGUAGUCGGCGUAGGAGCCGAGCAUGACGACGUGGAUUGCGCCGGCGACAUCGAAGGAGUAGUAGAGGUUGGAGUUGGAGGGGGAGGCGCCCUCGUCGUAGGGCAUGCGCCAUCGUGCGUUGUAGGAGAUGAAGGGGCGGGGCCCGAGGAUCGGGAGGGACUCGAUCUCGUGGUUGCCCUCCGUCGCCAUCCACGGCCGCGCGCUCGCGUACGGCUCCACGAGCCGGCCGAACGAGUCCCACAGCGGCUGCUGCAUGUCGGCGUACGACAGGUCGCCCGGCAGGAGCAGCAUGUCGUAGCCCGACUUGCCGAUGUGGGCCAGAGUCGACACCGUCCAUUCCGUCUGUCCCAAGUCACCUGUACUGGGAGUAUCAGUACUUGUGCUAUCCCCGAACAACAAUUGUUUCACAUUGUUUUACAAACUGAUAGUGCAUAUGCAUGAAUCAGUUUACACCGAUGUUCGUUAGCUUAGUUGAAUAAGAAGUGACGUACCGACGAUGGCAAAUUCGAUAGGGAGUGCAGCAGGUGGGGUUUUAAAGCUGAACUCGUCGCCGAUUCCGCCGCAGCGGUAGUAGUAGACCGUGUUGGGCUCCAGUGGCCCGAUCUUGACGUGGUGAAUCUUGCCAGAAGCGUAGAAGAAGUAGCGGUAUGAAGUGUGCUCGCCGGUCGCAGACAUUGUGUAUUUUUCAGAAACCUUUCCGUACUCGACCAGCGAGGGCCCGUGAGUGUCGUCGGUGAUCCAUGAAACUCUCAUUUGGUCAAUCCCUACAGCUGAUAUGUGCACCUGGAAUGGAGCAUGUAUAUAUAAAUCAACAUUCGUUAUUUGAAAAAAUAAUAGUAGUCCUGAUCACAGUUCUCAGGAAUUCUAUAUGUCAUUAAUUGGAGAAAAUAGUAAUAAUAUGAAUAUUGACAAUAGAUUUCCUAACAUCUUUUCACUAAUUUAUUGCUAGCUCGCUGUAACAAAAGCAAAAUAUUAUGAAUUAGAAAUCAUAAAUACUUUUGUAGCCCUAAAUUAAUCAUACUUAGUCUUGAUCUCUUAUCAUAGCAAGAGCUUCGUCUUUUUCAUUAAUCAACCCCUAAUGUCCAGCUAGAAGCUGCUGCUUUCUGAUUAAAGCAGUAAAGAAAGAAAGUUAUAUAUCUUGGCCUUAUUUCACAAGCACUCUCAAUUUGCAGGAAAAUGACAAGAAAGACUUUUCUCUCCGAACAUAAUUGAAGGCGAGUCAAGAUACCGGGAAUCUCAGCCCCGCAAAUUAGAACUUAUCUUUUUUUUGAAAGCUAUAAUUUAUUUAUUUAUUUAUUAUUUAUUUAUUUUUUUUUUAAGUGAGGGCUGUUUGGUAGUCCUCCGUAAAACUACCUUGAAAAAAAAAAAUCCAUGGAUAAAAUUUUUCAAUUGGAAAGGAGUUUUACGUUUUUUUUUUUUUUUUUUAGUAUUUGAUUUUUAGAAAAAAUUUAAUUUUCAACCCCGCUUAUUUGGUUGAAAGAAAAAAAUGAAUAUUUUUUUUUCUUACAAAUCACUAAGUGAUAUUGAAAAAUUAUAAAAUUUAUUUUCUAAAUACUUUAAAUAUUCUAGACAAGUUUAAUAGAGCCGAUUGCCGAUUUGGAAGUUCCAAUAUUAAAAACGAUUUAAUAGAAUGGAAGCCAUUGUAUUUCUCAAAGCACACAAACUAGACUCAUAUAUAUAGAGAGAGAGAGAGAGAAUCUGGGUAUAUUACUUUUAAAAGCAAUAAGUGUUUGGUGCUUAUAAUUUUCUAUCGUUAGAUCUAUCCCAUUGACUAUUUUCAUUCGUUAGGUCAUACUAUACAACCAAUCAACCACUCAAUCCUAAAGGACUACUAUUAUCCUAACUGCUCAUCUCUUAAUCUAAAGGCCAAAACCUACAAACAACAAUGACUUGAUACUUUUAAAACAUAGGAGCCCCAGUUAUAUAUACACACACAUAAUCUAGCCACGCCCUCCAAGCUAAAACUAUGAAUAUUGUUAAAUGAAUAUCAGGUGAUUAAAUAUACAUAAUCCAACCAUGGCCUAAAGAGGCAUAUUUUUGAAGAAAUCAAUUAUCUCAUAUCCGAAGUCGGUCCUUAAUUAUUCUUUCAAUUUAAGAGAUUGAAAUAAGGCUAAAUUAUAAAAAAUCCUUAUGUCAGUACUUGUUUUCUCACUUUUCUCUAUGACAUUUAAAAAUUCAUAUUUUGCUCUUUUAAAAAAUAAAAAAUAUUCACAACGGGAUACGGUAUUAACUAUAACAACAAAUUGACCAAAUUGCCCUCUUCUUAUUCGUCUUCUCCCCCAAUCUCCUUCAUCCGCAGUACCUCCUCCUCCGUCUUCCGUGCCUCUCUCGACUCCAAUUUCGACCUUGCUUACUCCAUCUGCUCUCCCUGCUCCUCCUGCAAGUGUGCGAGGGAAGCGGUGUGCGAGGGCAAGGCGAUGGAGGAGGGCGAGGGUGCAAGGGGAGCAACUGGAGCAAGCGAAAUCGAAAUUGGAAUUGAGAGAGGCUCGAGGAUGAAGGAGGAGGUGCUGCGGAUGGAAGAGAUUGGGGAGAAGAUGAAUAAGGAGAGAGCAAUUUGAUCAUUUUGUCGUUAUAGUUAAUACCGUAACUUGCUGUGAACAUCUUUUAUUUUUUAAGGGGGCAAAAUAUAGAUUUUUAAAAAUCAGAGAAAAAAAUAAGAAAGUGGGUAUAAACCUCUAAACAGGCGUAUUUUUGAAAAAAUCAAUUAUUUCACAUCCGAAGUCGUUCCUUAAUUGUUUUGUCAAUCUAGGAGAUUGAAAUAAUUAUGAAAACCCACAGGGGUACAAAAGAUGCUCGCGUAGGUGAUCGCGGAGAGUAGAGGGAGCCAAAAGAUUGGUAGAAUUAAUUCACACCUGUUGCAGGUGCGAAGCGGACUUCGUGUGCUGGGUGUGGAUGAUCCUCCCCGGCGGCGGACGGACGUACUCCGACACUCCGAAACAAACGAAAGCCAAAGAAACAAGGCCCUGCAUAGCAAUUCUCCACGUAUUUGCCAUCUCCCUGAUCAGAAAGGAAUAGCAAGGGGAUGACGAAACUUGAAGCAUUGUAUAUGCAUAUAUAAGGAAUCGUGGACGGCGUCAAGGAAUGAACAUCUAAGGAAUAAUAAUAAUAUUGGAUAACGCUGUUAUUCUCAGGCUUCAUCUUAAAAAAUUUCAUCAUGGUUAAUUACUUCUAUUAUACAUUCACCCGCUUGACCAGAAAAACUAAAAAAGAAAUAAGCACGCUAUGUUAAAAGUAUAUACCCCAGAAUCUAUAUACCACGUGUACGUUGUGACUUGUUUGGAUAGAGUUUUUAAGAUUAUAAAAUUACAAACUAGUGGAUUUCCGGCUAAAAGGUUGGCGUGUUCAUUUCACCAAAUAAUAAAUGCUUGCCAUGCAAUGAAAUCGAACCUUUUCUCCCGUUAAAACCAAAGGAACAAAAUUUCAAUGAGACUUGUCUCACAGGGGCACAAAAUCAUAUUCUGAGAUUACCAUGAAGUGCUACUGGAUUGAGCUGGCUCAUACUUGAACGUCUCAGUAAGACACAUGUCACACAAAUUUUGUUCGCAUUGAUGGGCUUAAUUUAAUGAUCAAUUAUUAUUGUUUAAGGUGGAUCUACACUUUCCUAACCCAGUUUUACACCCAUUUAAUUAUGAGACUAAUUUCCAGGAAAUUUUAAACAAAAAACAAAUAAAUUAAAGCGUGCAUACAGUUAGAGAAUUGUGUGAAACUAUAGUCUAUAGACCGCGGAAUACUAAAAAUUAUUAUUAUUAUUAUUAUUAUUAUUAUUAUUUUGAGAGAUAGGUAGCACGCUACCCGCUUCGUUUAUUUUAUUUAGAAAUAAACUUAGCUGAAAAUGUGAAUCAAUUAGAAUUCGAAUUUGGAAUCUCGGUUACCAACCACCAAGCCCUUUGCCACUUGCUCUAGGGAUGAUCGGUAAUACUAAAAAUUAUUUUAAAGUUGAUUCUUUGGCGUCUUUCUCAGUCUAAGAUGGCUUAACUUUUUGUGGUCCAUCAUUGGUACAACCACUUAAUUUGGUUCCAUUUUUGUAACAGCUAGCGUCGGCGGAAAUUAAACAGGUCCGAUCACCUCUCUAUUUGAGGAGGUUCUUACACAUUGCAUUUGCAGUCCUUUUGGACCGCCAAAUUUGGGCUCAGCUCAACAACUGAUCUAGUGCAGCUGCAACCAACUAUGCUAAGCUAGCGCGAACUAAAAAGAUUUCUCAUUAAUUUCUUCCAAUCAAGUUAUGCGCACAUCAGGCAACACUAUAAAACAAAUUAAAGAUACGUGCAAUGUAUUUUCUUCAUUUAGUACUUGUCACAUGGCUGAAACUUUAUGAAUCAAAAUACUUCUAAUGAUUUCUUGAAGAAUGGCCCUUAUCCUCUGAUUGGUUAAGAUUAGUCCUGCUAUUUUUUAUUUUUUAUUUUUUGUAAAAAAAAAAUCAAUUCCUUCCACCACCAUCAAUUAAGUCUCCGCCUGAAGAGCCAAAGAAGCUAGCAUAUUCUUCUGCUAUGAAGGAAUGUGCUAUUAGCCAUUCUCAUAUGUAAUGAAUACGUACAUCCGUGACCACAUAAAUUAUCCUCAAUUGUUUCAUAAAUCACAUAUUCCCGCGAUAGCAUUUGCCGUGUUCUCGGAGGAAACAAGAUGGCAUGAGAUUGGACGGUGGAUUGUUUGGUGAAGCGAAGGCAUAUUAGAUGGCUAAAGAAAUGUAAAUUGGCCGGAAGGAAAUUUUUAAUUUAGCAUCUAAUUCGAAAGAGGGGGAAAAAAUAAGAGAGAACUUUUUGGCAUUCAACUAUACAGCCGCUGCACACACUGGCCUAGACUAAUUAGUUGAGAUCUUUGAAUAAGGAGGGAGAUGAUCGAACAAAGUGUUAGAUCACAUGCACGAAUCACUGCCAACUUUUACUAAGGUCAAAAAAAAAAAAAAAAGAAGGCCUUUUAUGUAUUCUAUUUUUUUUUUAAAAAAAAAACUUAUUUUCGUGAACGUGGUAGGCUGGUAGGUCUCCCCUUUGGUACACUUUUUGCUUGUCACGUCAUGCUUUCUUGAGAGAACUCGAGGAUUUAAUACUCAUCAUCCAAAGAAAGCAGGGGUGUUGGGGGAGGAAGUCAACGUUUUGGACGGUUAUCUGGCAUUUGUUUUNUUUUUUUUUUUUUUUUUUGAGAGAAAGAUAUCAAGCUACCUGCUCCAAACAAAAUGGCAUUUGUUUUUUUCUUUUUUCUUUUUUUUUUUGGGCUGCCCGACUCUCAAGGACACCUUAGCUGCCUUCAUUUUGUUCGCCUAAUUUAUUUUACUUUAUCUGGCAUUUGUUAUGGAUAGGCAUAGGACGAAGAUGCAAGCAGCAAGUCGCACUUAGGGAUGCAAACGGAUCGGAAUUGGUGGAGCUCCUGCUUCAAUCCGCUUGGAACGGUAUGAUAAACCAAAAAAAAAAUAAGGAUCUGUUUAUGAUCUGAGACGGGUUCGGAACAGAAAAUAAAAAAAUUUUGAGCCAUCCUGAAUCUGUUCUAUCUCCGAAAAUUAUUUAUAUUUUUAAAAAAUAAUGUAUUUAUAAAAAAAAUCUAAAGUACAAAUAAUUUAGUGCUAUUAUUUUUCAUAUGCUUGAAAUUUUUAAAUUUUGCUUUGAAUUGUGAUUGAUAUUUUUAAUUUUUAUAAUUAUAUUGUUAAUUAUAUGGAGUUGAGAUAGAAUACUCUCAAAAGCACCAUGAAGGUGAUGUUUUUGAGUUUUUAGUCAUUGGAUGGAGAGAUGUGAGGUUGAGAUGAUGGUAGUAGGUGAUGGUAGGUGGAAUAGUAUUUGAUCCAAAGGCUAUUAGUAAUUAAGGAGUAGAUCGAAGGACUAGAAACUUAGAAGCACCAAGGGUUGGUGCUUCUAAAAAUAUUCUAACUCAAUUCAAUUAUAUAUAUAAUAUUAUUAAAAAUUAUUAAUUUAUAUUUUACAAAAUAUUAUAAUUUUAUAAAAAAUAUUAAUUGGCGGAGUAGAUUCGAGACACUGGCGGGAGGCGGGUUACGAGGUGGGGUAUAUUAUGAGAUUUAUUUUUUAACAUGUCACGAAUUUGACGCGAGAGACGGACGAGAUUUUUUUAAUCUGGAUGGGAGGCGGGGUGGGACUACCGUCCCCCGUAUCAGCACUAUUUGCAUCCCUAGCCCCAUUAGUUGUUCGCUCCAGUAAAUUAUACUGUCAGAAUAUUGUUGAACCAAGGCCACUAGCGUAAGUCAAGCCAAGCUGAUCGAACUCUAUCCGUGCUUAGUCAACUCUAGCUGUGCUUAGUCAACAAUCAGUUGCCUGGUGCGUCUACACUGUAGAACGACUCCCAUUUGGGAACAAGAGUCGAAGACCUCAUGUUAGAGAGCAAGAUUAUACUAAAUACUAAUGUGUCGUUUGAUUCGAAUAUAAAUAAAAAAUUUUAUUUAAAAAAUAAAUUUAAUUUUAGAUAUAAAUAAAAAUUAGAUUAAUUUUUCGACUCUAUAAAUUAUAAUUAAGCUCCAAUCUCAUGUCACAGCAUACAACAGACUAAUAUUAUAUUUCGUAAAAAGCAUUUUUAAAAAAUUUGCUAAUAGAUCAACAAUAUUACAGGCAUAUUUAGAAAGUUGAUGUAAAUCUUAUAUUUUAUUCAUCCAAAAAAAUCAAUAUUUUCCAACCAAUAUUAGUAAUUAUUUUUUAAUAUUAAAAAUUUUUUAAAAAUCUAAACUUUUGGAUGAGCAGUUGUAAUUAAGAUUUACAUCUAGUAAAUCAAAAUGAAAAUUAAUAGUACGUCAGCAUUCACGGGGUUAAUGAACAUUGAAUAAAAAAAGAAUCUAGAACUUACGGACAAAGAAGGGGUGGACCGGACAUGCUUGACAAAUUGCAAAAAAAAAAAUAAUUAGACAAUUGAAGCAACAAAAAAAACACUCAGCGACAUGGAGAAAAACAUAAAAAGGACUAAGUCAAUGUGAAAGAGAGGGAGCACUUGAUUCAACAAUCUCAAGCUAGUUUGGCAGAUGGAUGGUUGGUGUGACUCCGUCCAGUCGAGCACAAUUAAUAGACAAUAAUUCCUGUGCGUAUUAAUUUUAUGGAUUAAACGCAUACAACUCUCGAAUANUAAAUAAAAAUUAGAUUAAUUUUUCGACUCUAUAAAUUAUAAUUAAGCUCCAAUCUCAUGUCACAGCAUACAACAGACUAAUAUUAUAUUUCGUAAAAAGCAUUUUUGAAAAAUUUGCUAAUAGAUCAACAAUAUUACAGGCAUAUUUAGAAAGUUGAUGUAAAUCUUUAUAUUUUAUUCAUCCAAAAAUAUCAAUAUUUUCCAACCAGUAUUAGUAAUUAUUUUUUAAUAUUAAAAUUUUUUAAAAAAUCUAAACUUUUGGAUGAGCAGUUGUAAUUAAGAUUUACAUCUAGUAAAUCAAAAUGAAAAUUAAUAGUACGUCAGCAUUCACGGGGAUAAUGAACAUUGUAUAAAAAAAAGAAUCUAGAACGUACCGACAACGAAGGCGUGGACCGGACAUGCUUGACAAAUUGCAAAAAAAAAAUAAUUAAUGUAUAAGAAGACAAUUGAAGCAACAAAAAAAACACUCAGCGACAUGGAGAAAAACAUAAAAAGGACUAAGUCAAUGUGAAAGAGAGGGAGCACUUGAUUCAACNAUAGAAAAAUAUAUAUUUAUUAUUAUUAUUAUUAUUUUAGUAUCAUACGUAAUUAUAAAAUAAUAAUUUUUAGAUUAAAUUAAGUUGAUAAAAAUUUUCAAAUCUCACUUUUUAAAAGACUAAUCUAUAUUAAUAAAAAAUAAAAUCAGCUAAAUUAACUUUAAAUCGUUAAAUUUUAAUAUGACUUGAUAAAUAAAAUUUUGCUGAUUUGAUUAAAAUCAUAUCGACUCUCCGAUUCGAUAGUUGAAUUGCCGGUUCGAAUUGUUAAAAGCGUUUUCUUAAUUUGUCUGAUUCAAAAGAUUGCACUCGAUGGUUUUAUAGAUUAGAUGACGAUUAGAUCGAUCAAAUUAGACUCCAAAGACUAGGGUCUUUUAAUAUAAUUCAUGUACGUCCCAAUUAUUAUAGUAUACACUGUAACAAACUUGGUGGGAAUCAGUACGCUAUCUAUCUAUCCAUCACGUAACGGGCCUAAAGAUUCAAAGUGGCGUGUCCGCGCUAACUCUUCGACGCCACGGAGGCACGACACGUGUCGCUUUUUCCGUUACCCCAACGAAAAGUGCCCUCACUUCAUCUAAAAUUCCUAGUUACGUCCAAAACCGCAACAAAAAGGGUUUUGUGGGGUGAAGAAACCGAGCGUUCGAGAUUCCCACACUCCAUUCCCAUACACACAUGGUUGCGUGUGUUUAAUCCCAAGUUGGAAUCAAUAUGGAAAGCAAAAUAAGAAUAAAUUAAUAAUAAAAUCAGAAUAAUUUAUUAUUUUAUUUUGUUUAAUUCGUCAUCUGAAUCGGAGUNAUUAAGGAGGAAAAGAUUAAAAACAUGACCUAAAUACUUUUAAUUUAUUACUACUAUUCUCUAAUUUUGUCAAUUUUUUUAAUUUUUUUUAUCACCCUUUAGUCUUACUAAUCCAAAAAUAUUUUAUUAUUUAAUUUGAUUCAUAUUCUCUUUGUUGUAUUAUGAUUCUAAUUUUCAAGCAUCGCACGUGCAUACAAGUUUACUAGCUUAGCUAUUAAUUUGGACUCUUUUUCUUUUUCUUUUUCUUUUUUUUUGUGCUACCCAUAGUAUCAAAUUGCAGAGUCUACGGCUUAGAUAUGGCUUUUCAUUUUUUCCAUUUUUAGAUAAAUGGGUUGUUUCGAAACUGGGACCCAUAUUGCGUGAGGCGGUUUCUGGUUAAUUGCAUCUUUCCGGAUAAAAACAAAAUACAAUUAAUACAAAGGAAGCAACACUAACCUGUCAUUCAAAAAUAAUCUAAUUGUGUAUGAAUAUGAAACUUUUCUAAUAUAAUUGUGUAUAAAAAGUUUGAUUAUUUACUUCUUAAAAGACAUUGUUAUCACUGAUUUAGUAAAAUAACAUAUUUUUCUUACGAAUUAAUUUAUUUAUUAUAAAAAAAUAAUUUAAAGGCCAAAUAUAAUGUUCUAUUUAAAUAUUAGAUCACACUUCUCACCGUCCAAAUGGAUAAUUUUAAUAAAAAUAGGCCAAUUUGCAUAAAAAAUUCACUUAUUUUGGGCUUUUGCAAAAUCGGGCCAUAUUUUUGGCUUUUGCAGAUUCGGUCCGCUUUUUCAGCAAACUGACCAAAAUACCCUUAUACCUUUUUCUCUUUCCUCUUUCUCUCUCCUCUUUUUUUCUCUCGUUCUUUUUUCUUUUUCUUCCCAGAGAGCGGCGAAGACGGAGCGGAGGUGCCCUUAUACCUUUUUCUUUUCUCUUUUUUCUCUUGUUCUUUUUUUCUCUCUUCCCAGAGAGCGGCGAAGACAGAGCGGCGUCGCCGCCGGCGCCCCCACCUUCCUCGCCUCCGAUCCCCCUAAGGCCGGGCUNNNNNNNNNNNNNNNNNNNNNNNNNAUAUUCUCUAAUUCUUGUCAAUUUUUUUAAUUUUUUUUAUCACCUUGUUUCUUUUUGUCUUCUAUCCAAAAAUAUUUAUUAUUUAUUUGAUUCAUAUUCUCUUUGUUGUAUUAUGAUUCUAAUUUUCAAUGCAUCGCAGUGCUACAAGUUUACUAGCUUAGCUAUUAAUUUGGACUCUUUUUCUUUUUUCUUUUUUUUUUUUUUUGUGCUACCAUAGUAUCAAAAUUGCAGAGUCUACGGCUUAGAUAUGGCUUCAAUUUUUUCCAUUUUUAGAUAAAUGGAGUUGUUUCGAAACUCGGACCCAUAUUGCGUGAGGCGGUUUCUGGUUAAUUGCAUCUUUCGGAUAAACAAAAUACAAUUAAUUACAAAGGAAGCAACACUAAUGUCAUUCAAAAAUAAUCAAUUGUGUAGGAAAAUCUUUCUAAUAUAAUUGUGUAUAUAAAAGUUGAUUAUUUAGUUCUUAAAAGACACUUAGUUAUCACUGAUUUAGUUAAAAUAAUAAUAUUUUUCUACGAACUAAUUUAUUUAUUAUAAAAAAAUAAUUUAAAGGCCAAAUAUAUGUGUUCUAUUUAAUAUUAAAUCACUACUCUUCCAUCCAAAAUGGAUAUAUUUUUUUAAACUAUUUUAAAUAAAAAUAGUGAGUAAGAAUAUUCUCAUUCUUCUCAGCUCGAGUUAAGGUAGUGCCUUUGACGGCAACACCUGUUUACAUUCGUCUCCUCUGUGUGAUCUCAUCUUCCGAAGAGAUCACCUUUGGCCCCCAGCCACUCCUUAAAACGGCCCAUUUUAAUCAUUGGCUCCGAUUAGGCCUAAGCAACAUCUUAACUGCAAACAACCAGGCUUUAAAAACCUGGAUUGAACAACGACGCUAAUUAUUACCGGUCUCAAAGAGUUAUUGCUUCAAGUAUGUACUUUAAUUAUUAUGUUGAAAAUUUUUAUAUAGAAAAAAUAUUAUUUAUUAUUAUUAUUAUAUAUUUUACGUAUCAAUACGCUUAAUUAUAAUAAUAAUUUUUAUAAUUAAAUUAUUUGAUAACAAUUAUUCAAUCUCACUUUUUAAAGAAACUAUCUUAUAUUAAAAAAAAUAAUAAAUCAGCUAAAUUAACUUUAAAUCGUAAAUGUUAAAUAUGACUUGAUAAAUAAAAAUUUUGCUGAUUUUGAUUAAAUUGCAUAUCGACUCACCGAUUCGAUAGUUAAAUUGCCCGAGUUCGAAUUCGUUAAAAGCGUUUUCUUAAUUUGUCUGGAUUCAAAGAUUGCAGUCGAUAGUUUUUAUAGAUUAGAUGACGAUUAGAAUCGAUCAAAUUAGACUGCAAAGACUAGGCUUUUUAAUAUAAUUCAUGUACGUCCAUUUAUGUAUAGUAUACACUGUCUAACACACACUUUGGCUGGAAUCAGUACGCUAUCUAUCUAUCCAUCAUCGUGAAUGGUGCUAAAAGAUUCAAGUGGUGUCCGCAGGUAACCUCUUCGACCCCACCGGAGGCACGACACGUGUCGACCUUUUCCGUAUACCCCAGACGAAAAAUGCCCUCAACCUACAUUCCAAACAAUUCGCUAAGUUACGUCGUAAACGAGCAGUUCGAGAUCCCACACUCCAUUCCAUACACACAUGGUUAUUGCCGUGUGUUUUAAAUCCCAGGUGGAAUCAAUAUGGAAAGCAAAAUAAGAAUAAUGUAAUAUAAAAUCAGCAUAAUUUAUUAUUUUAUUUUGUUUUAAUUCGCCAUUUGAAUCGAAGUCGAUAAUGAACUAUUUUCUUUAUCGGAUGUUCCGUUCAGAUUAGAUAUAAGAAAACGUAAUACAAUUAACUAGUAUAAUUUUAUUUUUUUAAUAUUUUAGUUUAAAUUCAAACUAAAAUUGUAAUAUUGAAAAAUUUACUGUUAAAAUUUUAAAAUAAUGUCAAGUUUGUAAAUAAUUUUUUCUAAAAAAUUGUUAUGUUGAAAUUGAACCGAUAAUUCAACAUUAAAACUAAAUUUCUAAUUUAUUCCAAUUCAAACUUAAAAUUUUCAUUUUAAUAUUUAAUUUUAAUUUGAAUCCAUAAAUUUAUUUUAAAUUUUAAUAAAAAUUUAGAAUAAACUUUACGAUUUAAAUUAAAUUUAAUUUCAUACAAUUUAGACUCGAAAGCCUUGACAGAUUUUUAAUUUUUAAUUUAAUGUUUCAAAAUGUAAAAAUUAAAUUCUAUAAAUUAAAUUUUAUAGUUAACUUAUAUUUUUAUAUUAUAAAUAAGUUUAAGAGUUAAUCUAAUCCUGUAACAAAAUCUAUUUGUCAGAUUUAAUUUCUACAUCCCGCGUUCUCUAAAUGGGAGAUUCGAAAAAAAGAAAAAUUUAAGGACUAUUUUCAUUUCACCUGAUAAAUUGGAUCUAAUAUAAUAUGAUUCGCUCCAUGUUCUGAUCUUUGAUUCAGAGUAGUCUGGUAAAAAAAAAAGUACAACCACAUGUAUUAUAUACCGGGCGGAUAUACCCUUUUCCCUAUCUUCUAUAUCGCAUGGGGAUGUCGGUGGCUAUAUAUAUAGCAGAGAGAGACAAGGAGAGGGCAUCAUCACUAGCGCGUCUCUCAACGCAUGUUCAUAUUUUACUCUUUGCUUCGCUCGAACAAAAUUACGUAUCGGCAUAUGAUGCAUCAGCAUGGCGACGUUGCCGGUUUCCUCCGAUCGUCCUCGUUCUCUCCUCGUCUCUCUCCUGUUCUCUGCUUCGCAUCGUCACGAGCGGCCGAACCCAGAGAGACCCCUCUUCGUCGCCCUCGACGCCGACGCGACGGUUGCUCACCACAGCACGGUAACGCGUUACGCGCGCCUCCUCCCCUCGUAUGCUUUAGAUCGCAAAUGGUGGUGUAUAUCGAAUUGAUGUGAUGAUAUGUUUGAUUGCCUCCUCUUUUCUUUUCGGCAGUUUGAAAUGGUUUUUGUAGAAAUUUGAGUUAGUGUGGAUUAGUCGCUAACCGUUUGCGAUCGAUAACUUUUUUUUUUGCGUGAGGCAUUAUUUCUAUUUACUUUUUUAUUUUUAAGGAGGCGGCUAAUUUUUGUUGUAUUUUUUAAGUUUCCGACCAAUCGUUUUGAAUUGCUUGCCUCAUUCGCCAGGUUCACACCGCCAUAUAAUAAUCACGCAUAAAUCAAUGUACAUAAUAAUGAGGUGCCAUGCAUGUUUCCAGGAUUUUAUUUAUUUAUUUAUUUAUUUUUAUUUUUUAUCCUGACUAGAAACACAUUUAGGACUUUGCAAACUAAUUUGUAGGCGUCAAACACUAGCAUAAUUUCUUUUAUUAAAUCUAAAGAGCUCACUGGCAUUUGACUAAAGAUGAAUAAAACAGAUUUAUUUUUAUUUUUCACGUGGUCGCCAUAGACACAUCUAUUGAUUAAACUCGAUUCGUUAGAGGUCUUAUAAUAAAUUUUAAUAUUUGAUCUGAUCAAUGCUUAAAAAUGGUCUUAUAUGUUCGAAUUGUGAUCUUAUAUUUACUGUUCUUUUGUUUUUUUAUUUAUGUAAACAAGCAAUACCUAUUAUAACUUAUUAUUGAUCUUUUGAGGACGAUUUGUGGGCUAAAUACUACGACUUCUUAAAACAAUGAUCUUUUUUUUCUUUUUUUUUCUUUUUUUUUUUUUUUUUUUUGAGAAUAGGUGCAAGCAAUGCAUUGAUAUUUAUAUACAUAUGACUAUUUAACCGGUCUAGUAUCACAUAGAAUGUGCUUUCAGAAAAGUGGGGGGGAGAGAAAAAGGAAAUAAUCCACUCCUUUUAUGAAUGCAUUUUAUAGUAGGGACUUAGUUUUUCAUUGUGUUGUUAUCUGCGCCAGGCAAUAUCCCUCCCUUUUCAUUUUGUUUUUUUCUUUACUAAAUAUUUAUUCCAAAUCAAUACUAAGAUUUUUUUUUUUUUUGACCGGAACAAUUGAUAUGAGAUAAAAAUUAAUUAGCAUAAAGGGUUGACUUCACUCCACAAUCAAAUAUGUAAUUAGUAUCAUUAGCUAUUACAAUUCUAGCUCUUUCUUUGUUUUGUUCUAUAAAAUUGUUAGAUGUCACUUUUGAAUUCGUUAAGUUAAUUAUCAUUACUACAAACAGGCUUGGAACUGAUAGUUCAUAAGGUAAGAAGCCUAAAAGAAUUGAGAAAAUUGAGAAAAUAAACCAUAAAAUUGAAAGGUUCAUCUAACCGGCCAUGAAAGCUACGUGUGAGUAUGCCAAUUAACGCAUUAUCAAAAUAACUUGUUCGUUUUGUGUGUCCUUUCUCUCUCUGCAAUCAUGAGGUUAAAUGAAUGGAGAUGCCACAGUUGAUGGAUAUUUUUUGUUAACAAUGGUGGAUAUUUAAUUGGACACCUGGCAACUUAUUAACAAUUAAUGAUGUAAUAAUAAAAAUAUUGUCGGCUAUAAAGACGGAUUUCGAAAGGUUUUUCUCAUAUUGGAUAACCAUUGCAUUGAGCAAAUCCUUGAUGUGAUGUUUAAUCAAAAUGCAAAUAUAUGCAAGUUUAAUUUGAAAUUCCAUGGCGUUCGUCUUCGCGUACUUUCCUUCACAAACUGCAUCUCUCUUGUUUGUCUAGAGGCUCGCAUUAAUUGCAUAGACGAAACGUGUAGUUUUCAACUCUUUCCGAGAAAGAAGAUCGAAGAUGAUGAAGUAGAAGAAAACAAUGUUUUCAACUUUUAUUUUCUUCUGUAGUUCUUUCUGGUAACGGAUUUACUGUACUAGAUAAUGCAAAGCUAUAUAUGUUAUUUGUUAUGGAUAAACUGAUUGGUUGUAACCUGUGGAGGCAACCAAUGAUCAUGAUCAUUAACCUUUUCAGCUUUAUGAUAUUUCUUUCUUUCAGCAGGGGAGAUAUGUAUUUUUUCUACGAUGAAUUACCUAGCCUAUAUAUGCGUACAUAAAUUUUAUGCGCACCACAUUAUGCUAAAAAAUUUCACACAUAUGAUUGGUUCUUGCAGCAACACUAUAAAGAAACUUCUAAAACUUACUUCAAAAAGUAAGUAAUAUGCGUGCUGAAGAACAAAUGAGCAACAAAUGUACAUGCCUAUCUUUUAGAAUUUCCCUUGACAAUAGUUUUACUGUGGCAUAGCUUGUAUAUGAGCUUUAAUUUCUUCAUUUUCCCAAUACGUAUCCACCUUGUGACAUAUGGUCAACUUAAGUGUGAUUUACUUGCACGCAAUACUUCACCUGAUGAGUGACGAUAUCACUUUGUUCUCCUAAUUGCACAUAAACAGUCCACUACAUAUAUAUGGUUGUGUACCAGAUCUGCUUUUCUUUUUUUCUUUUUCUCUUUUUAGCUAAUUACUACGUAUAUAUACUUUCUUGGUUUGCCGUCUCAUUGACAAAUUGAAAUUUAUUACAGCUACAAGUUUGAAUUAUGAAUUGCUCAUCAGUUUCUCCCUUCAUGUUUGAAACUAUCAGGUCCAUAUAUCUCUGGUAGGUUCUGAUAAGAUGAGAGUGACGUGGAUCACCGACGACGACGCCCCAUCUGUCGUCGAAUAUGGUACUUCCUCGGGUCAAUACCCUUUCUCGGCCACCGGCUCCGCCUCCUCCUACUCAUAUGUCCUCUACCGCUCCGGCCACAUCCAUGAUGUCGUCAUCGGUCCCUUAAAUCCCGACACCGUCUACUACUAUCGCUGUAGCUCUAAUCCCUCGCGCGAGUUCUCCUUCAAGACACCGCCAGCGAAUCUCCCCAUCGAACUUGUCAUAGUUGGUAAUAUUUUCUCCUUUUUUUUUUUUUUUUGUUUGCCCUCGAUCAUCGCCUCCUUAUAUUAGUUUUUUUUUUUGAAUUAUUUUUAAUAUAUCGAUAGUGCUAAAUUAAUUCUGCAAUCUGCAUCAUUGUAAGAGGAUUAAUUGCAUUAGUGUGCAAAAAGUACAACCAGCACUAUGAACUAUAUAUGGGUUGGUCAGAACAACCGACCAAUUAAACAACUGCUAGUUAAAGGUUGCUUAAAAUUGCAAAACUGCUUACAGUUAAAUUAGGUAUUGUCGAUGGAAACUUUCUGUGUCCUAACUUUAACUGUUGGUGAUCUUUUUUUAAGUUGUUUGGCGAGCACACGAAAAUUAUUCUUAAACAGUGAAUAAUUGGCUAGGCUGUUUGGCAGUAAGAAUAAUUGUCAUAUAUUAUAUAAUAUAAUUUUUGGUAGAAAUGUACGCAUUAGAGCUUAAUUAGUUAUGUAAUUACUUACGUACCUGAGGUUGGAAUAUAUUAUUGUUGUCCAAUAUCGCGCGGAUGCACGCAUGCAGGCGACCUGGGGCAGACGGGUUGGACGAACACGACGCUGCAGCACGUGGCGGGUGCGGCCUACGACGUGCUGCUGCUGCCGGGCGACCUCUCGUACGCGGACCUGUACCAGCCGCUGUGGGACUCGUUCGGUCGGCUGGUGGAGCCCCUCGCGAGCGCCCGGCCCUGGAUGGUGACGGAGGGCAACCACGAGAUCGAGAAGAUCCCCCUCCUCGAGCCACGCUCCUUCAAGGCCUACAACGCCCGCUGGCCCAUGCCCUUCGCCCCGAGCUCCUCCGACUCCAACCUCUACUACUCCUUCGACCUCGCCCAGGGAUCCGCCCACGUCCUCAUGCUCGGCUCCUACGCGGACUUCGCCCCCGCCUCGCCCCAGUACCAGUGGCUGCAAGCUGACCUCGCCCGCAUCGACCGUGCCCGGACCCCCUGGGUCCUGGCGCUGGUCCACGCGCCAUGGUACAACUCCAACGAGGCCCACAAGGGCGAGGGCGAGGCCAUGCGCAGCGCGCUCGAGCCGCUGCUCUACGCGGCGCGUGUCGAUGCCGUGUUCGCCGGGCACGUGCACGCCUACGAGCGGUUCGCGCGCGUGUACAACAACACGGCGGACCCGUGCGGGGCGGUGCACGUGACGAUCGGGGACGGCGGUAACCGCGAGGGGCUGGCGAGCGACUUUGCAGAGCCGGCCCCGGGGAUAUCGGAGUUCAGGGAGGCCAGCUUCGGCCACGGCAGGUUGCAGGUGGUGAACGCCACCCACGCGCUCUGGACGUGGCACCGCAACGACGACGACGAGCCCGUCGUCGCCGACCAGGCCUGGCUCACCAGCCUAGCUUCCAACCCGGCGUGCAGCGGCAAGACCCACAGCUAGCCGCUGAUUGCUUAUAAACUAGGCUGGGCUUGGCCUUGUUUAUUUUGUAUUGUUAAUUUCUUUAUUUAUUGAUCGAUUAAUUAGUUUGCACUACUAGCACUACUAAUUCUCUCUUUAAUUAUAUAUACGUUCGUGUGUAAUGGCAUUCUAGUCGAAAGGUUGUUGCAGGAGAUUGAAAUAGUGCAGUAAAACAUUACGAUGGGUAUUAGCUCUCCGUGUUACAUUGAGAAAAAUAAAAACUAUGCAAAUUGUUGUCCCCUACAUUGUUCUAUAUAUACUUCUAUAGCCGGACGGACCUCACCGUCUUGGAUAAUUCGACAAAUGAAGAAAGGCCUUUAUAUAUUCUGCUUCAGUUUCACCUACCGAGGAAAUGAAGAAGCCAAAGGACAUACUAUCCUUAAUAAGUGUCAAAAUAAACAUCCUAAAUCAUCUUGUCUUGAAACUAAUAAAACACUGCUUUGUUCUGCAGCCGACAACGACGAAAGAGCAUCAAAUUCCUGCCAAGCAAACCAACUAAGAAUCUUGUUGAAACUGUUCGACAUCAUGGUUUUGUAGCUAAAUUGCUCACAGUCAUUAUUUAUUGGCCUUAUGUGCUAUUAAUUUAACUCUGUGGCUGUCCCAGAGGCCAGAACCUAGUCCCACGGGGUUGAACUAGAUAUAGAAACAGAAGGGUACGAUAUAAUACAGAAUUAGAGACCAUGUGGAAGCAGUGCAUCUCUCUUCGCCAGUCACUUGACUGACCUAUUCGCUGGAGCUGUACAAUGGCUGUGGAUUUCACAGAAGCUCUCCCCCAGGCCUAGCUUCCUUCUAUACACCCCACACCCCACACCCCACACCCCUCAUGUGUUGUACUCUGCUUCCCAUGAGCACUCCUUGUCCUCUUCCCUUCUCCUCUUGGAAAUUAAAUCCCUAAACCAUCAUUCCCCCUCAUGAUUCAAACUGGCCCAUCAUGCUCUUGACUAAAAGAUUGAUUCCAGGGAAUAGUCUAAAUAUAUUUUUAUAAUGAUAUUAGGCGAAUCAUGUUACACACACAUGGACAGUGACGAUAGGCAUAGAUGAAUGUCAAAAAAAUCAUGAAUUUGGACAAUUGAACAGCGGAACUUUUAAUUUAAGAUUUGGGACAGACACUAAUACCAUAUUUUUUCAAAAAAAAAAUCUAGAGCGGAGAAGGUUUAGGACCAACUCCAUUACCAGAUUUAUCCCCCCGCCCCCACCAAAAAACAAAAAAAAAAAGAAAAAAGAAAAGAAAGAAAAGAAAUGAGUUUGACACGAAAUGGGUUAUGAAUAAUGUAAACAAAGCUGAUCUCUCACUGCCCACUAUGGACUGACAGAUCGAAUCCAGGCCGUUCGAUUCACCUCGAUGGUGUGUGAUGAAUGAAUGGAAAGGAAGUUACAGCAAAGCAUGACAUAAGCGCAUGAUGAGUUUUGAGCGGUGGUCAUGUGAAGGCAUUUAAGAGAGAAAUGAACUCAAUGGCUCCUGCAAUACUCUGCGUAUGCAAUCUUUACCUCUGUGAGUAAAAGAUUAUAUUCUCCCCCUUCCAAAAGCUUCUACUAAUGAGUUCCUUACUCACCCGGGAAUUAAUACCAUCCUAAAUAGCCUAUGCCAUAUCAAGUUACAAUACGCAAUCUUAUAGCACGCAAAAGUGCAGUUCACAAAUCUAUCUGUUCUUUCCCAAUUUGGGCUCCCCUACCAAACCUGGGUAGGCUCAACUCACUCCAUAUCCUUCCCAAAGUGACCCCAUUCCUAUCCUUAUUGUAUUGCCAAAUCUAUGCCUCCGUCGGGAGCACAGGCCAUUUGGAAGUUAAAAGUCCUGUAAUGAUGGUGAGAUAGCAAUCUGUGUCCUUGAAGGAGCUUUUUGGUCAUGAUGGACGUGGGAGGAGGAGGAACACUAGUAGAAGAAGAAGAAGAAGAAGAAGAAGUUUCGAGAAGUAUAAAAAUAGGGGUGCGGAUAUGCUUCGACUAGUGAGGUCCAGAGGGGGGCACUUGAAUGCUCCUCAUAAUUUGAUUCUGGGAGCCAUGCAAAAUCUUCUGUCGCAGGGGAUAAGAGAGGAGUGCAUUCAUUGAAACCCUAAAAUCUACAUCAGCCCAUGAACACCACCAGUCAUCCAUGUGAGCAAGGCGAAAAAUCUGGGAUGCAUAUUUGAGAGGGAGGCAAAGAUGUAGUGGAAUAUACAAUAUAAUAUAGUAAAAUCAGGAUUCAGGAGUAAAUUGGGAAAUUUUAUAAUUGGAAAAAAUAUUUUCCACUUUAGUAAAGUGCCUGUUGGUUUGACCUCAUAAUAGAGUAUAAUAAUAUAAUAUUAUAUUAUUCGAUAAAUGUGUGAGUGCUAUUAUUGGAAAAAGGGCUAUAUAAAAACACAUUCAAUAACUUUCUGCACCAGAAAUAGAAAUACCNGCAUCCGUCGGGAGCACAGGCCAUUUGGAAGUUAAAAGUCCUGUAAUGAUGGUGAGAUAGCAAUCUGUGUCCUUCAAGGAGCUUUUUGGUCAUGAUGGAUGUGGGAGGAGGAACACUAGUAGUAGUGGAAGAAGAAGAAGAAGAAGAAGAAGGAGGAGGUACGAGAAGUAUAAAAAUAGGGGUGCGGAUAUGCUUUGACUAGUGAGGUCCAGAGGGGGGCACUUGAAUGCUCCUCAUAAUUUGAUUCUGGGAGCCAUGCAAAAUCUUCUCUCGCAGGGGAUAAAAGAGGAGUGCAUUCAUUGAAACCCUAAAAUCUACAUCAGCCCAUGAACACCACCAGUCGUCCAUGUGAGCAAGGCGAAACAUCUGGGAUGCAUAUUUGAGAGGGAGGCAAAGAUGUAGUGGAAUAUACAAUAAUAUAGUAAAAUUAGGAGUAAAUUGGGAAAUUUUAUAAUUGGAAAAAAUAUUUUCCACUUUAGUAAAGUGCCUGUUGGUUUGACCUCAUAAUAGAGUAUAAUAAUAUAAUAUUAUUCGAUAAAUGUGUGAGUGCUAUUAUUAGAAAAAGGGCUAUAUAAAAACACAUUCAAUAACUUUCUGCACCAGAAAUAGAAAUACCACAUUAGAAUUUUUAUUGGUGAGGUUGAAAACCUUAUUUUUAUUUCCUGCGUUAGCGCAAAUUUAGAUCUUUCUCAUUAACAAAUGUUUUCCUGAAGAUUGCUGCGCCUAAAAACAGAAACAAAACAGAACCAAUGUUUUGUAGGCCUAGAAUAGAUUAAUAAUUUAAUCCGGAUCCUCAUUUGACAAUAAUACGCUCUAAUAGUUUCUAACAGAUCCAAACGUGAAGCGGAGAUUUUAGAGGGAUUCGGUAUGAGAUGGAAUAAGUUAGUUACAGGGACGAUAAAAAAAAUUUAAACAUUUUAAUACAUAUCUAAGUCGAAAGGGACUAACGACAACAUACGCAGCAGCGCCCAUGGGAUUAAUUAAAUAAAGAAAGGGAAGUUGGGGGGGGGGGGUGUGGUGCGGGCGCGGGGAGGAAUAAAUUAUAUAAAAUGCUUCCUCUCACACGCAAGAAGAAGCAAAGUCCACAGAGCGGAAUCUUCAUCUCAAUCCAAACGAGGUCCACGAGGUUCCUGGCCCUAGAAAAUGACUAAUGUACCCAUGGCCUCACCGCACAGCCCUUGGGAGGCAAAACGAUCCGAGGAAACGUAAGGUGCUCGCUCACGUUAAGCACCCAUGGCGCCCAGGUGGGCCAAUUCAGUGGCGUUCCCUCAGAGGGCGCUCGUUACCCUCAGAAACGUAUACUUAUCUCCAACGAGGCCCACGAGGGCCCAGCGAAAUUACCAACUCGACCACCCCACCCCAAAAAGAGGGAGGAAAAAUAAAAUAAAAUAAAAUAAAAUAAAAUAAAGAACCCAAUCCCCUCAUUAAACUACGAGGAGGCGCCAGCUACUCCUCUAAUACAUAAGCAGCCUAAUAUUAUUACAUUCCAAAGUUGACAUUAUGCAUUGCAGCAAGUACGAAUGUACAAAACUCUUCAACCAUAGAUUAUUUCGAUCCAAAAUGCCUACACUUCAGCAUUUUAAAUUGAAGUAGACAUUAAAAAUAUAAGAACCUAUAGUUUUCAGAUAAUAACAUAACAUAACAUAAGAGUUAAGAGUUGGCCAGACGUUGUUGCAUUAUAAUUAUGGAUAAUAUUAAUUAAUAAUAACUAGGGCCCAGCCGCCCAGGAGGGGACUUACAUUAGCGGAUCAACCAGAAGUCUAAAUAAUAGAAGAAAAGAAAUAUGUGGCCAAACUCAAUCCAGUAGAUAGAUUGCACACAACUAGUCGGGGAGCCAGAAGAUAUAAGUUCGUGAUCAUCUUUCCAACCGAGUUUAAAAAAAUAUAUAAAAGAUAAAAAAAGGGGGGGGGAAAUGAUGGUGAAAAUAAAUGAGAGGGGAGGGGAGGGGAGGGGGGGGAUAUAAUAAUUAAUAAUGAGGAGUAAUAAUGGAAAAAGACCAAAAGAGCAUCGAUGAGGGGUGAUGAUGAUGAUGGGGGAAGGGGGCGAGGACCCGGAAGGGCCAUCAUUGCGAAUCUUGGGCCGGCCGAACCCCAUCAUCAUUUGGGAGGGGAGGAAAAAGGCCCACGAAAUUCCCAAAAUGCCCCUUACUACUAGUCCGCCCCAGAGUCCCAGACCCCAGACCGAGUCCCCUUCUCCCGCGCUAUCACGUGACGCCACCCGCUCUUCCCUUCCAACCCCAUCAUCAUCAUUUGCCAACAUUAAACUCUCGCCCCCUACCGGCCGCCUCCACUCCUUUCCCUUGCUUGCUUACACACACUCAUGCAUGAUUCCUGUGCCCCUCCUCCAUAGUCCACACAAAACACAAUUAAGAGAGAGAUAUAUAUAUAUAUAUAUAUAUAUAUAGAGAGAGAGAGAGAGAGAGAGAGAGAGAGAGAGAGAGAGAGAGAGAGAGAGAGAGAGGGGCAUAUAUAAUCACAGCACAACCCACCCUGAGCACUAUAAAUAACCCCUCACACCCCACCACCCGAAAGCGCACAUACGCACUUCUUCUUCCCAUUCUAACAUCAUCUUCUUCGUCGCUUCUAAUCCCUCUAUACGUCUCUCUCUCUCUCUCUCUCUCUCUCUCUCUCUCUCUCUCUCUCUCUCUUCUUGAACUUUCAAGUCCCAGCACCCAAAAGGUGAUCACUCGGGAAAAACCAUGGCUUAUAUUAUAUAUAUAAUAUAUAUCCUAUGGGCCUCCUCUGUUUCUCCUAUUGGUAUAUGUUAUCUCGUUGGUUAGGAUAGUAUGCUUUCUUGUUUAGGAGGACCGGGUCGAUGGUGUACUUCUUCCUCAACUCCUAUGGUGGGAAAAACUGAUGUAAUUUGGUCAUCCUUUUUGGUUACGUAGGGCCUUCCUCUCUAGCUAGUAACCAUACUUACACGUACCUAAUCGAGGUAUUGAAUAGUUUUUACACCUUAAAAAAUAUACAUAUAUUUAUACUAACCUCCAGUUUAUGCUAAAUUUGUUUUCUUCUAUGUCGCCACAUUUGUCUGUCUCUCUCUCUCUCUCUCUCCUGGUGCUGCCAUAGCACGCAGCCCAUAGUCUUUUGAGCUUUAUUUUUUGACUUUAGAAGGUUCAGCUAUGCAGGUAAAAGGAAAGGAGAAAUGGGCUUUGUGGGUCUCCUAUGUUGUUACUUUUUUUUAACUCUUUGUAGCGCAUUCGGCUUUUCCUUUUGUGUAUCAUCUUUGGGAAAAGCAACAGUCCGUCCUGUUCAGAAUAUACCACCAAAAGUCUAUCUACUUCUACUCCCAGUUCCAUCCUAUUAAUUUACUAACAUACUACCAACCAAUAUUAUUCCUCACACGCUGACCUUUUCUUGUUUUACUGUGUCCACCAGGGGUACUACUUCCCCUACGAGCAAAAGCCAUGGAGAGGAUCAACUCGAAGCUCUAUUUGCAGAACUGCUACAUAAUGAAGGAGAACGAGAGGCUGCGGAAGAAGGCGCAGCUUCUGAAUCAGGAGAACCAGGCCCUGCUGUCGGAGCUGAAGCAAAGACUGGCCAAGUCGAAUGCUGCUCCAAAUCCUAACCCCGUUCCCGACCUCAAUGCCAGCCCGCCGCCCACACCCAACAUGGCUCCUAAUACCAGCAAGCCCUGAUCCGAUGCCAUGACAAUUGUAUGUGGGGGUGGGUAAAGGGUUCUUUUUUGGGUUGCUUUUGGGUUACAUGUUAUGUUAGCUUUACAAACCUAAUGUAGUGUACUGGGGAUCCAUCGACAGCCUACAGCCUACAGGGCAGUUUCAGUUAUAUAUAAAUAUCAGUAUAUGUUUUGUUUGUUGAAUCUAACUCAAAUUCUGGAAUUCUAGAAUUCUACUCUCGAGUCGUAAAUGUUUUUAUGUUGACGGUGAAAAUUUACUUUAUUGCAUGAUUUCAUCCAAUUUAACUGAUGUAAAAAUGUUUCCGCUAUAUAAAGAAACAAUUGGAACCAAUGCAAGGUAACUUAAAAAUCCACACUUAGCUUCUUAUCGAUGUCAGCGAAUGUCUGGAAAAAGGCCUUGAAGUGUUUGUAAGCUGUAUCCACAUCUUGUUUCCCACAUAUCUCACGAACACUGCAUUUGUUACACGCAUAAAAGAAGAGUUCAAAGACUGCAUAUGCAAAAUCUUGAAUUUUCUAUUCAGAUCAUAAGUUCUAAUAUCAAUAAGCCGUAUCCUGUUCUUCUUAAAAUUUAAGCCACGAGUUGUCCUAUUUUGACGCACUACCCAGUAACUAAGCAUAAGUGAUUUGCCAACAAGCAUUACGGGCAGUAGCUUUAAGUUGUUUAUCCGGUUCGUAAGUUUGUCCAUAAUUUCAAGUUGAAUUCUGCAAAUGAAAUUGUUAGUUGCAUGAUGAUUGUUCAUGAAUUAAGAUUUUCCCAAUUGUAUUGAAGUUAGUAUAUUAGCUGAAAACAGCGAAUGCACCAAACUCAAGUUACAGGGUAGGUGUCUGGCAACAUCAGUUCUAUCGAUGUAUAAAUUGGUAAUAGCUUUGAUUGUCAAGUAAAAUAAACCGUUUAAGUAGAUCAUAAUAAGUUCAAAAGUAUUCUAAUCUGUUGCAACCCUGAGCAGUCCUCUGUACUGCCGUUUCCAUGGACUAUAUAAAACUUUGUUACAAAAUACAAAUUGAUCUGGUUUUACGGACCUAGAAUCAACAAAGAGCAUACCACCUACUCGUCUUUAAAAUCAUAAGCAAGCUUGUCUAUUGAAAUACAGGAAAUAAAAUGACCAAUUAUAAAUUUGCCGAAUGACCUGCUAACCACGGAAUUUCAACCCAACCAUUAGUGAGUGCUAGAUGGUGUUAUUGGCUUGCUGAACAGAGCAGAGUCCUAUUUCACAGUUCACUGAUAUCAUUUAGUUAAAAAAGCAUGGACCUUACUUGAACUACACCAAAUUUUGAAACGGGUGCUCAGAACUCUAAAAAAUUUGGUUUUAUUACCAAAUCUUAUAGUAUAUUUCAUUUCAUAGAUUCAAUUAGAAUUUAAACUUCUUUUUUGACAGAACAUUUACAAUUUUAAAACAAAAUAUCUUUUUCUAUUUGACGAAAGGUUCUAUAAAUUGUUUAAGAAAGGAUGUUAAAUUCUAACAUAAUUUUUUUGACAAGAAUGUUUGAGAGUUUUUUAAAAAUCAAAAGAAAUGUAAAGUUAUACAGUAAAAUUAAAAAUUUUGAAACUCAGCUCAUUUCAAAAUGAGUCAAUAGUUCAGAUGAGGUUCCUACAUUUUUCACCCAUUUUUUUAUCUUCCAAAGUUUCUCACCUUUGGAUAAAGGACGGUUAAAUCCAUACUUUGUUUACUUCUUUUUUUUUUUUAGAGGAAACACAAAUUUGUUUAUUGAAAUAUUCUAUCCGGACAUCCUGCAAGUAAGAAGUACAUUCUAUACCAACCAUCUAAAAAUUUAAAAAUCUCUUUUAAAUUUUUAAAAUUAAAAAAAUGAUAAGAUCAGAAAAAAAGAAUUAGUUGUUUAUAUAAAUAAAAUAUAAAAUUUACACUUUUUUUUUUAAGAGAGAGAAAGGUAGCAUGCUAUCCGUUUCGUUUAUUUCAUUUAGAAAUAAAUUUAGCUGAAAAUGUGAAUCAAAUAGAAUUCGAACUUGAAUCUCGAGUACCAAUCAUCAAUCCUUUUUGCCACUUGUGCUAGGAAGGGUCAGUCACUCUACUUAUUGAUAUGCAGCUUGUUUACAAGAAUAUUAUACGGCAAUAUUCUAGUAACUGUCCUGGACAUCUAUUUGAUCCCGAAAGGAUGUCUUUGAUCGGAGAUUUAUCCGAGAUCUAAAAGGCUGACGAGGGUAUGCAAAGUCAAAGAAAGAUCUCAUAGAUUCUGAAGAGAGGUCAAUCUAUUUCUUAAAUAAUAGGAAGACCAUAUGCAAAUUCCUCCGGCUUAGUUUAGGUCCGUUUGGUUCAGCGUAAAAUCGUAAAAAAUAAAUUUUCGUAAAAUUUUUUUUAACAUUUUGUAAUAUUUCGUUUAUAGAGAAAAAAAAAUAUAAACAUUUGUUCUGUUGAAAAAAAAAAAUUAUAUUUAUUUAAUUGAUAAAAAAAAAUUGAAUAAAAAAAAUUUCACACAACUUGAAUUUUUAUUUUCCGCCAAAAAAAAUAUAAAAAAUAAAAAUUUCAAUUUAUUUUCAAAUCCAAAAAAAUCAAAAAUAAUUUUUAUACCAAAAAUGAUUUUUCAACGCGGAACCAAACAUGAAACACCUCUCAAAGACCGAGAGAGAUAGGGAGAGAGAGAGAGCGAAGGGGGGUCCACCAUAAUAACAUCAGAUCAAAAGGGACAUGACAUAUGGUCCUUCGGUACCGACAGGUUGACCAUAAGUCCAUAUACGUCAUCAGCUCUCAAGUUCGGAGUCCCAUCAGCGAUCUAUUUGAGCCCAUUUGCAAUGAUUAUAACGUUUAAUUUACAGAUAUAAAGUGGAAAAGAAAAUUUUGUUUCACUGGUACCGCAGAGCACAAAUGCCGCAAACAAGAGUCAAAGAAAUGCAAGGUGCCAACAAGCCAUGAUGACCAAGUAAAAAUGGACCACUCUGGCCAGGGUGUCCACNUUUAAUUGAAUAAAUUGAAUACAUCUAAACAAGAUAAAUCUGUACUUUAAACCUUGUGAAAAUUACAGCUAUGGACCGUGCAAUUUAAAUUUCGAAUUUAAAGUAAAUAUGAAGUAUAGAGUUUCAGUAGAAUAAGUUAAAAAAGCUUGGACAAAUAAAUCUGGACCGCAAAGUAUGACUUUGGACCGUUAAGUUGAGAGAGUAAAUCUGGAUCAUCGAAUAAAUCUAGACUAUGUAAGAAUAAAUUUGGGCUGUGGAGUUUUAUGAAACAUAUUGAAUGAAUCUGUAUAGUAGAGUAUGUUUUAACCUCAAUCUAAUAAAUCUAGAAGAAAUAAAUCUAAACCUUGGAGAAAAAUAUAAAAUUUAAGUUCAGAAUAAAUUUGAAUCUGCAGUAGAGUUUCCUACUUCACAAUUGCGCAACUUGAUAUUGUUAAAUAUAUUGGAUAUUCUAAACCUAGUUGCUUUACAUUUAUAGUUAACUUUAUAUUUAAAAAAAAAAACGAAAAUAAAUAGUAUACAGUAUACUAUAUUUCUCGCUCUUAAAAAAAUUCCAAAUUAUCUUUUAUGAUGAAUAAAAUAUGUAUACAAGAUGACUUUAAGCUACAACAUAUCUCGAAGCUUUAGGUGUCAAAUCCAAGCCCUAGGUAACGUUGAUAAGUGUCAUUUCACGAAGAAAAUGCUAAACGUUGGAUCCGUUGGAGCGGACAAAAAUUCUAUGGGCAGCAUGCGGCACGCUGCCGGAUGUCCACCACUGCUCUCCCAAUAAUGGGGAGAGCAGUGGAACUUUCUGGGCGCACCUGGUGCAUCUAUACCAGGUGCACCAUAAUUGUAAUUUUUUAAAUUUUUUAAAAUUGUAACUUAAUAUGUUAGCAUAUAUGUUAUGAUUUAAAAUUUAUAUGGUCUAUAAUUCAUGAUUAUCGAUUUAGAAAAUUAAAAUUUUAAAAUAAAUUUAUUUUUGGUUUCAUGGAAUAGCAUGGAUAAUUUUUAUUAUUCCUAAUUUUUUUUCAAAACCAAAUAGAAUUUAAAAUUUUAAUUUCUACAAUGAUAACUAGUAAAAAAAAUAAAUAAAUUAUUACAUAAAAUUAUAAUUUUAAAAACUAAAAAUUUAAAAUUACAAUUAUGGUGCACCUGGUAUAGAUGCACCAGGUGCACCCAGAAAGUUCCAGUGCUCUCCCCAUUACUGGGAGAGCAGUGGUGGAUGGGCGCCGCGUGGCACCUGUGCCAUGCGGCGCCCAUCCGGCAGCGUGCCCAAACUAAUUAGUUUGGGCACGCUGCCCAUAGAAUUUUUGUCCCGUUGGAGCGUCGCGACACACCGCAUUAAUGCAUAAAAUAAUAUAUUAACACUUCACUAUAGUCGAUUAAAAUAUAUAUAAUUAUUUAAUUUUAAAAUUAAAAAAACUUAUAAUUAAAGAAAUAUAUACAAAAAUUUAUAAAGUAGUCUUAUAUACGUAUAUUAUAAAGAAUAACCUUUUUUAUUAAUUUUUUUUAACUUUUAGUAUUUAUACAGCUAAAUUAUUUUAAUAAUUUUGUUUUAAAAUUCAAUCAAACUUAAGAGUUUUGAUAGUUAUUUUAUAAAUUAAUUUUUAACUAAAAUUUAAAAUCGGAGAAAUUAUUUCAAAUUAAAUAUAGGUGGGGUGUCUUUAAUUACUUUGUUAAAAUUAAUUUUCUCCUAAGUUAAAUUUAAGUCCAACAUGUAUUUUUUAAGUAAUAUUCUAAGCUCCAAUUCAGAUUUUAGAAACACAAUCAAUUAAUGAAUUGAGCAAUGAAACAUGAUAUACAAAAGUCCACUAAUACAUGCUAGCAAUAGUACUUAGGAGAAAAUCCGCGAAAAUCCGAUAAGUAUAUGUAAUAUACUGAACUUUAGUAAAUUGCGAAGUUCGUGUAUGGGAAUGAUAAUUGAAACCAUCCUACAUGUUCUAAAGAGUUUGGAGAAAUUGGUGACCAAGUUUGGGUGUGAUCGGAAUGUGAGAAGCAAGAAAGUGCAUUGCUGUGGCCCUAUCUUCGAAUUUCUGCAUUGUGUACCGGUACAAUAUCAAUGUUGUACCGGUACAGCAAGCAGCAGUGGCAGCAGCUGCGUGGCAGUAGGGAGAAUUUGGUCAUUUCACUUCCCAAGCUUUUCUACAAGCUCCCAGCUCGACCCCUGAUGUUCAGAUUAGCUUGCUGGAGCUUGGCAACAGGGGUUUGAAGCUCUUCUUUNUAAAUAAGUUUUUUAUAAUUGAGCUCGACUUUAUUAUUUUUUUACUAAAAAUCAAAUAAUAAAUAAAUAUAUUAUAUAUAUAAUUAUUUAUUUAUAUAUAUAAAUAUAAAUUAAAUAAAUCAUAUAAAUAAAAAAUAUAUAUAUUCGAGUUGUUAUCGUGCCAAACACGAGAAAACUAACUCCAGCUUGUGUUUGGCUCGUUUAUUAAACAAGUUGAAAAAUUCAAUUCAUGUUCGGUUCGUUUGCUAAAUAAGCGAUUCAAUCUCGAAUUCAUUUCGAGCCGAACACGAAUUGGCUCACGAACAACGAGCUGAAUUGCAACCCCUAACUCUGACCGGCCAAACCCGAUCCUAAUACGAUUCAACUUAUAAGAGUUGGCUCCUAGAAAUAAUACCUGAUAAUAACAAAUUGGGUUUAGAUUUGAUUCGGUCCUUUUUGGUAGCUUUCAUUGAUUUGAAGUUCAAUCUGAUGUCUUAGUGGUAUGAUUUUUUAGUAUUUUAUUCAGACCUCUUUACUUUUUAAAAUAACCUAUGUCCUUAAACUAGAAAGACCACGUUAAAAUUAACUACACACGAAACAAUUCAACAAUUUGCUAUUAUUCAUAAGUAUUCACUCUAUAAUAUAGAGGACGGAGCUAUAUUUAUCCUACAGCUUGGUACGUGCCCAAUAAAAUGCAACAACUCUGCAUGUAGAAUAGAGAGAGCAGAAAAAUUAUGCAGACCAAGGUUGAGAUAGAGAGAGACCUGUGCAUGGACAGUUGUGGAAUGCCACAAUCUACAGUUCGUAUACCAACACCAGAAGCGAGGAUGGGGCCGAUCGUAGAACCGCAACCCAUAUCAUUUCUUACAACAAAUUCCUACGCAUGAAUUUCUCCAUGUAAGUCAAGUUCGCGAAAUUGCAGGUAUCUAAUUUUGAGUCCAACGUGUAUUUGAGAAAUCAAGCAGCAAGCAUGAGGGUUGUUUAAAGAACUAACAUGUUAUCACAAAUAUUUUGAUGGAAAUUUACUGCGUCACACUUGCAUUACAUCAUCAAUAACAAGCCAAUUACAUCUCUCUUCUUGAAAGAAAAAUACAACAAAAAUAUUUUUCUAUUAACUAUGAUUGAACAGGUGGACCCAAGGGAUAUAAUUUUAUUGGUUAGGUACACCAUGUCAGCAAUAUAAAUUGGGCAUUCUAGAUCUUUUCAAUGUUUUGCUACAAAUGUUUAUUAGCAUAGUAGAUUGACACGAGUGGAAGUAGCGAAAUUUGCAGUGACACCUAGAUUUCAAGAGCAAUUAACAGCAGUUACAGAAAGAAUCUGAAACAAAUUCCCGUAAAUGACUGGUGUUACAUGUUUUGUGAGUAACAAGUAGAAGCACAAGCUACUCAUGCAGACAUAGCAUUUUACUUUUCAUUAGUUUCUAACCAAGAUCAUGCCUGUGCAUCCUGCUAUUCUAAGGUCUAGGGAGAAUCGAAUAGCCUUAGAUACACAUUUGAACAUUCUUCUGUUCAACUCUACAGAGAUAAUUGUUCUAGGCAAAGCCGAGCACCACCAGAGACCUAUGUUCAAAAGGGGCAAUCUAAGCAAAAUUCAUAGAGAUGUCUGUUUUUGUUUAUGUCUCCUAAUUUGACAUGUAAAAUAAAGUUUCUUUCCACCCCUCAAAUGUAGGAAGUAAACAGCAACCUCAUGAGCUGCUUUCAAAAGGUUCUGAAAUAACUUAGUUCAGCCAAUGAUGUUUUCACUACCCUAAAAUAAAUAACUUGCCACAUAGUAACACAACUAGACACUUCAUUUUAUCCAAAUAACAUGCGGAGAGAAGAAAGUAAGUAAAAGCAGCAAAUGUAGAGUCCAGUCACAGAGAGAGUACCUGAACUGGAAGGUUAUGCAUACUUGCAACUUCCUUGAAAAGAAAAGCCGUUACAGCACUUGUGGCGUAGCGUUGAUUAGCAUUAUGCUUGAUAACAAGCCCUUUUUGUAGCUCUGGCCUGUGGUGUUCUUCAUAUUUAUCAGGAAAGUUUGGGUGCAACCCAUGAGCCAUGUCUGCAGACACUGUAAUGAGAAAAUAGAGAGAUCUCAUAUUUGACAGCUUAUUGAAUUAUCAUAAAGUACGAAGUCGUCAAAACAUAAAGACAUACCAAGAAAGGAGGAGUGAAUUGCACGCUCCAAAGCACUCUCUCCCAUUGAUUGAUGAGAUAAGUUGUCAACAAUACGCUUCAUAGCCUGGAACAUUGUUGGUGCUCCUGCUCCUUGUGGCGAGUUUGAUCCAACCUGAAAAUUGUCACUUAGAUAUAUGUGACGUCAUUAAAAAAAAUAAAUGAUUGUUUUAAACUUCACAGUAUGAGCAAGAUAUUAACACCAGCAGGCCAGCAGGGGAAAUUUAAUAGUGUUUGCUAUAGACCACAACAUGACAUCUAUUUGACAAAUCAAAGAGAAACCAUCAACUUCUGAGUCCCUUCCGCCGAUCAUAUAUCCAAAGGGUUUGUGCUAAGGCCAGCAUUUUAAUCUUUUGGCAGAGGCUCCCGGAUAUCUUAUUUGUGUUGUAUAGCCAAUUCUAAACUUGGUGAGAAGAGGCUUGGAUUGUGUUAGACCUUUAACUACACUCUCCAAGAAUAUCUUAUAUUACCCGCCACUUCUUUUGCGCAUUUGGAUAAGCGGCCAGAAGAUCUAUAUAUAAAUAUCACACUCUUUUAACAUGUUGUACUCCAAAUCUUUGUUGUUCUCCACCUUACCUCCAAACAUUCCUUCUGAACUGAGAAUAAAGUAUUUGAAAAAAGGGCCUAGGAAAGUAGCAAGGAGAAUAAAUAUAUAACCAGGAACAUGCUGCAUAAAACAGUUUCAGAACAGACAAUGAGUCAAAAUUACAUUCAGACACAUAUACCAACACUUGAAUAUUGAUUACAGUAGUAUACCUCUUCAUUAUCAAAUAAAGCAAUCAUCCUAAUGGCCUUCUCAUUUGACAGAUCCCCAGGUGAUUUACAUGAGUCAACAAGAGAUCUGAGCGCGCAAUAACUCGAAGCAAGAUUAUCAAGUCUACCAGAGAAGAUAAACUCAUUAUUUCCACCGCCAAGACAGCUAGGCUGUGUAUCACAGACAUUCAACUCCAUACCCACUAUUUCAUCAGCAUUACAUUUGAGUUCCUCUGCCAAGACCUGUAAAUACACAGAUCAGAUUGGCAAACCAAAAUUAUGGACUACCUAGAAUAGGUAAAUCAUGAAAAACCACAUGUCAAGUUAAUUAAAGCAAAAAAAAAAAUUGAUAUAACCUUCAAAAGAAGUGCGUGAUGUGCAAUUUUGGGGGAAUUUGCCAAACUGACUUUGUCCUCGGAUUUGGUUUGAGCAUCCUCAAGCUUUGUUGCAAGAAGUGGAAUAAGGUGAUUCUCUAGGUUUGGCUUAAAACCUUCAGAGUUCACUGAGCUAGAAACAAGGAUUGGUAAGUCAGUAAAAACAACUUUCCACCAAAAAAGAAAAAUAGUGUUAAAAUAAGAUAUUAGAGCACGAAUGGGAGCAAUAUAAAACUAGCUUUGCCAGGAAAUAUAUGAACGUGCGGUGAAGUGCAAUAUAUCAAAGGUGUAACUCUAGGGAAAAUCUUGAGAAACAGAAUUAAUAUAUUUAGAAGGAAACUAGCAGCAACCGGUCAAGAUGUAUGGCUAAUGUCGGUACGCGUAGUAAAGGCCUUCUCACUUUGACAAGCUUAUGCAUGAAUGAACCAUCACCAGCUUUAAGAAUUACUCUUCCUGCUAAACUUAGAUCUCUAUCAAACCAUGUGUGCCAUAAGCCACCUCCAUAUGUCUGGACAUUUACCAUCAAGUACCCAGAUUUGGUUGACGCAGACCUUGGUUUCAGUUUUAAACAUGGGCUAUCUGUAUGGGCAGCAAUCACAUUAAACCCACCGCCAACUCUAUACCUGCAUAACAAAAUAUAUCAAUGGCACCUGUGAUGAGGAAGUAAAUUAUGAAUAGAAUAUAAGAGACAAUAAAAUAGGAUGUAGACAUGAGGAUAGUACCAAUGCUUCAAGGAAUCAAUCAGAUUCAAUAUUACGAAAAUAAAUGGUACAAUCUAAUAAAGUAUGGAUGGUUAAAGGUCUUCUGAUUCAUAUACAGCCAAAACUUAUGGAUAAUGUCAACAGGAUGUAAAACCACUUCAUCCGGAAGAUGGCUAUAGAGAUGGAAUACAACGUUUCCGAGCUGAGUGCAACCAGAAAUCCAACAUUAUCUAACUCGUAUUAACUUACAGAACAUUCAAUACUACAUACUACACUACAGUAGUAUACUAAUAAAGUAUCAUCAUUUUUUAAAUAUUACAAGCACCUCUGAAUAAAAAAUAUGAAACAUACAGAAAAAGUGUAAGAAGCAUCCUAUGUUCAACCGAAUGAUUAGAAAUCAAACAAGGAAGCCGACUUUUCGUGGGCUACCUUGUAUGGAACAACAACAAGUAAAGUGAAUCCGUUAAUUUAAUCGUUUACAAACCACAAAGAAGCAAUGAUUGUGUCCCUGAUUAGAGUACAACAGUAUAUGUAACAAAUUAAUUCAAUAAAUUCAUCAAUCAGCUACCCAUAAAGUGUGUAGAGUAAGAUGAUUAAAGAGAACUUACCUUUCUCCGAUUGCGAAAGCGACCAACGAGGACAUGUUACGAGUAAAGAAGUAGCGCCCACCAGGUUGGAGGUCCCAAUCAUCGUUCUCGUUCAGCAACUUGAAUCCAGCAGCGAGUAAUUGCCUCUUCGCUUCAGCUGAUACAACAAAACAUCACCAAAAUACUCAUCAAUUUCACCACGAGAAACCAAAUCAAACAUGUCGUUGGCGUACCAGUGGCGUGGAAUUGCGUCCAUGAUUCGUUGAGGUAAUCCAACAGAUCGCCCACGACAGACGUCGAGCUUUCCCCAGUGCUCGAAUCUAGCUGCGGGAUGAACGAUAAAGAGAGAGAUGAGAUGAGAUGAGAUGAGAUGAGAUGAGUGAUAGAGGGGGGGUGUGUUCUAGGGCACUCACUUGAAGAGGACGAUGAUCGUCGGAGGAGGAGGAGGAGGAGAGGAGACGAUACGAGGAGAGCGUGUUCGAGCGGCGCCAUGAGCGAAGGUGCGAGGAGGAGAGAGGAGGAGGAUGAUGUAUUCGGGGAAACGAAGAAGAGAGGGGAAGAGAACGAUGCGAAGGAGGCCUCAGUAGUUGGAGACGACUCAACGCCAUGGUUUACGAGCUUGCUCUCCAAGCAUCGAAGAAGAAGGGAUGGCCGGAGAUUUGGAUAUCGCCGCAAUUGGGCUGCUGAUGGGCCGUGGCCCGUCUUCAACCUGCUUUUACCUCAGACAUGGGCUUACGGGCCGAAUCUGCGCUCGGAUCCUGUCUCGACCCAAGCCCGUCAAAGUUUAGGCCCUCUUUUUUGUCGGGCCCAGGUACACUUCAACUCAUGAAUUAAUAAUUGCAGAUUAAAUCGAGUUAGGUAUUUCAUUUUAAAAAUUAAAGUAGCGUAGAAGCCUAAUAAAUAAUUAUAGUACUAUUUUCCUGGUUCUUCGGCAGUUCACCCAAUCCAAACAGUCCAACUUCUUGGUAACUGGAAUUAAGCCCACAAAGUUGGAAAUUGAUGUGCACACGUAAGACUCGGGCACCAUCUGCUUGAAAACUGCAUGAAAAAGAGCCAAAAAAAAAUAAAUAAAUAAAAAAAAGUGGUCAGGGGAAGUUGCGGAGGGGUGUUAAAUAAAAGUUUUCUAUGAGACUUGUUUCAUCUGAGAAUAACAUGAGGUGAUCGUUGCUUUUGUAAUUGAAAAAGGUUAGUUAUAAUUUAAGUUGUUCCAAGAGAUGAACUUUGUCCUCGAUCGCUAGUACUUAAUUUGCAGUAUAAAUCCAAAAACAGCAAUAAAACAACAUUUUUAGAGCCGGAAAAUAACACAAUUUUGGCAUUCAGCGUGGAGAUUACCAACAACUCUGUACCCGCAAGCUCUUUCCCUCGUCAUGUUCAUACGGCAUGCACUUAACAAUGAAUGGAAGGCCCACCACACAACUACGAAGCCGAAGAGCAACUCACCCAUAAUCGUUUUGUUUCCAACCAUUUCAUCUUUCCUACCUUCGCCACAAUUAACUUUAGUCAAAACCAUUAAACAAUUCUGAUUAGUUGAGAGAAGGUGAGUGGAACCACCAGUUUCACCACCAACCAAAAGAACCAUCUAUAUAAUAAUCCACAUCACAAUAAAUUCACAAGAAGCAAAAGGGAAAUAAACAACAGAAAUGGCCACCACUUUCACAGAGAGUGAGCACAAGGCUACCAAAAAGCAAGAAGUCACAGUGGUGGAUAAAGAUGAAGAGCACCAGAAUGACGAAGAAGAGUUCUUCGAGCUCGAUUUGGAGGUGCUUAACCGCAUAGAGACACUGCAGUAUUACGAGCACCGUCAGACUACCGCAGAAGCACUUCUUGCGAAUUGCCUUCUUCCUGUUGAGUAUAUAUGCAAUGCAAUACCGAUCGAAAGCAGCAGCAGCAGCAGCAGCAGCAGGAUGAAUGUUCCCUCAAAGAGGUUUGCCUACACACAAUAUCCAACGGUUGAUUCUCGUUGCGGGAGUUUCGAUGGAAGAAACACACGGAAGGUGAGCUAUGGUCAUUUCUGAACUAAACAGAAGUGCGAUAUAUAAUUCAAAGCGCACUUGAUUAAAUUCAAACACACUGUUAGCAUGAAAGAAGUGAUCUUGUUUGUACUUUAGUUUGCCUCCACUAUGCAGUGCUACAUAUAUAUAAAAGGUAUUUGCAAUUUUAUGACAUUGAAGAGAAGUGCUACCAUGUACAUAAAGUAGCUAAUUUUCCAUACGGAGCGUGACAGAGAUGCAACAAAAGCGAUUCAUUUUCGAGUCUAAAUACAGAAGGAAAACCAGUAUCUUCUGCUAUCGAUAAUAAGAACAAUUUUGGUUAAUUCAUCUAAGAUAGAUGAGUCAAGCAAGUCUGUCACACUCUAGACAUCCAUAUCUAUACAUUAAUUUUCAUAGAAUUUACCACAUGACAAUAUUUUUUCAUUCUUACCUUUCCUCCCCUUCUCACUACCUGUUAGGAGUCGAAUUCCGUCCUCUUUGACCCGGACAAAAAUCUUCCUUAGGAAGCGCGUCGGCUUCGGAUGGUGACCCUCGAAGUUUACCCCCUUCGACUGGAUCACUGGAUCAAGUGAUUUAGCUGAUGAGGGAUCGGAUCAGCCGAGUUCGAAAAUUUUUAUUGUAGAAUCGGUUCGGCUAGAUGAGCCGAAUUAAUAAAAUGCACAGAGUUUUAGGUCGGCUGAUGAGCCAAAUUUAUGAAAUGCACAUCAGUAAUUGGUCGGCUGAAAGAGCCGAAUGCUUUUAUAUAUUAAUAAAACAGAAUGUGCUCGAAGGGCAUACAUACUCUGAAUAUCUAGUUUACAACAGAGUGUGCCCGUGAGGCAUACAGACUCUAGAGAUUUAACUCAAAAACUACUUCUAGGAAAGCAGUAAAUGCGGAAAAGAAAAAGAUUACAUAUAGACUACUCCUAGAAAAGCGAUAAAAUUGUAGAGGACAUAAAGAUGGUCUUCUGGUUCAGGAAGGAGAAAGACCCCCAUUGCAGGUUUCGAAAUUACUAUUUAUAGUAAUAUCAACCCACAUUAUUGGUUGGUUGAAAAUAGUGGGGGGAGUAGUUGUAGCCAUGAUCGUGGAAGUUACGCCAACUUCUCAUGGAAGUUAUGCCCACUUCUCAACCGUUCCUAUCUAAAAGUUCUCAACUUUCAGACGCCUUAUUGCCGACUCCUGGUGUACCACGUAUCCUUAUUUCUUUAGCUUAUACGUGGGUUAGGUCGGCAAGCUAAUUUUUUCGCAUCAACACUACUUAUGUUUUGCCUUUCUACCUCCCAUCUUCACUCAAUACUUCGUCUUUCCACCUGCUUACUUUCUAAUUAAUGUGUUGAAACAAUUUAUUGUCAUGUAAAUUAAUCGCUUUCACAAAAAAGAAGAAGAAGAUCUAUUUAUACUUUUUUUUUCAUACUACUUAUAUUUAUUGAUACCUCAUGGCAAGUCAAAAAAUUUUAAAAUUUUUAUUUUAUCAAUUUUCUAUCUUUUAUACUAUUAGUCCGACACAAUGCGUUGAUAACUUCACUGGUAUUUAUUCAUAGCAUUUCUAUCACAAAAAAAAAGUUUACCUUUUGCUGCUGUUUUAUUACAAAACUUAUUAAAUAUUUCAAAAGAAAAGGACCGGCCUCACGAAAAAUAGAGUCAAGAAAUUGAAGUGAUUCAUUCUGUGCAAUCCACCAACUAAUAUUUCACGCUCACCAGGAAUCUUAAACAAUUGAAGAUAAAGGAGUGAAGCCAUAAAUUUCAUUAACCGGGAUUUGAGUUAACUUUAACGGCAUGUUUGGUUCACCUAUUUUAGACUAUGAAAUCGGAAUAAAAUUUAUCGAUUCCGAUAGUUGCCGUCUCUUUUAUAGAAAUCGAAUUCCGAUUCUCAUUCCAUUUCGGAAUGGAAAUGGCUAAAUCCAUUUAUGAUCCAAUCUGGCUUUGAAUUUCAGAUUGGCUUAUUCCAAAGUAAACUAUUCAAAAUUUUCUUUCACCGACACUAUUCAAGAUUUUCAUUUUGAUUUUCAUUCUAAUAAUGAACCAAAUAUUUUUGAAUAAUUCGCCAUUUCAUUUUUCAUCUCAAAACAAUUCAAUUCUAUUUUUCAUUUCUAUUCCAAUUACAAACCGAACAUUCCCUAAAUGUUAUAUCAUUUCUGUUAGAAAUAAAAAAAAAGAAAAAUAAAUUAAUAAAUUAAACAUAUAAUAUUUUAAUUCUCUCAUGGUCUUACCUCGCGCUUUAACUUAAAACUUAUAUUUUUAAUACUCUUACAAUUUCAUUUAAAAAAAUGUGUUUAGCCAUGGCUAUUGUAAUGCAUGAGUGAUUUUUCUUUUUCUUUUUCUUUUUUUUUUUGAGAGAGAGAGAGUGAAAGGCAACACAUUAUGUGCUUUAUUUUCUUUAAAAAUGAUUGAUAGUUGGUAUUUGAAAUUUCAAAUUCGAAGUCUAGUUAUUUUAUAUUUUAGUGAUAUUUAUUGUUAAUAAGAGAAAGAUUAAUAGGCGGAGGCGAGUGAAAUGGUUUUGACCAGGCUGGGCCAGAUUUUGGGUGGAAAAGUUUUUGUGCAGAACUAGCGUGGAAACAUCUUUUAGAUCUGACCCUGUUGCAAAUUGAUUGGGUUAGAUCCGGAUCAGAUAAUAAAAUUCUCAAGCCAACACCAAAGAAAAGAAGAAGUCAGGCCCACUCCAAUCUUCUCAGGACUCGGAUUUUCAGGCCCGGCCCUGCCCAACAAACCGGGUUCGAAUCUAACAUGGCUCACAUAAAACUGUGCGGGUCAAACACUAUGCCCGGAAUCAUAUAGAUAGCUGCUACUAUACAAAGACGAAUCAAACGUAUGUUAUUAAUUGUAGUUAAUGAGAUACAAAAACACGUGUUAAGUAAAUAUUAUUCCAAUAAACUUCCACUAUUGUUUUUUUUUUUUUUUUUUUGAGAGAGAAAGAGAGCGCGCUACCCGCUUCAUAUUCAGUAAAAAAGUAAAUUAAGCAGUUAUGGCAGACCAGUAUCACUCAAAUAUUACGCCGUUGGUUGGUAUCCUUCUUACCAAACAAUGGAUACACGUGGGUAUUAAAGAAAAAUAAAAAAAAAAUUCUAAAAUUGGGUCGUGGUUCUCCAGAGCUAGGUGUGGUAGUACACAGGAGCUACCCAAAGUAGGCCGUGGGCCGUGGUACUUGGGCCGGCGCGCUGUCGCUGUCGCUGGUGGCCCGUCGAGGGUACGCACGGGCGGAAUAGAGAAAGGAGGGAUGAGCGGAAUCGGAGGCCCGUAGGCCGAAACGUGGGGGGGGGGACCGAGCUCAUGAGUCAUGAUGCUCUCCCCCAACUCCGCUCGCACUCCGCAAGGGUUCGACACGCGCCCUCCCUUCACGUGGCGCGUAUGACGUCCAUGUACUCCCCCUCUUCUGGUUCCUCUGUGAUUCCUCAUACGACAACUCAUCGACCUCUGCGCGCGGAUGUGGACAUAUGUGUUACUGUGUACGCACUUCGAUCGCCUCUGUCGAAAGAGAUACAAAUCUUUUUUUCUUAAUUUAUUAUGAAAGGAAAAUGUUUCGAUUGGCUAUAGUGCAUAAUAUAAUGAGAUAUAUAUAUUACUUGUACAUAUUCUCGAAGGCCCCGUUUAAUUGGGAGGAUAAGCGGAGAUAACAAAAGUUAUUUCCGCUAUUCCGCCAAACGGAAUGAAAACUGGCCGGAAUAUUUUAUCCCGAUCAAACCUUGCUAUUUCCGGUUAUCCCGGAAUAGCAAGAAAUUUGUUAUUCCACCAUUUUGGUAGAAUAGCGCUAUUCCAAUGCUUUAUUUCAAACUUAAUUAAAAUUAUAAAUUGAAUUAAAACUAAAGUAUAUAAAUAUAAUAUAUUAUAUAUUAUAAUACAUUAUUUUUAUUAUAAAAUUAUUAAUUAUACUAUAUUAAUACAUAUUAUUUAUAUUUAAAUAUUAUAAUAAAAUUUAUAAUAAAUUAUAUUUAAGUAUUAUAAUAAAUUCUUUUUAUUAAAUUUAAGUUUAAGUAGAAUUUUUNGCAAACGGGCUUCAUUACCAUCCAUUUGUUUUCGAUGAUAGAGCAUUCAAAUUGACGAUCGGUACCGUUGAAAACGAUCUAUACCACUUCAAGUAUCUAGAAAUUAAAUUUCAUGCUUUUCCGAUAUUGUUCUCUUGUUCAUCAAGUGGGCAUAAAAAUGAACGGCUGAAAAUGAAUAUUUUUUAAAAAGUGAUGAUAGAAAUUUUGUAAUCAAGAUCGAGAGUAUAGAUCUUGUUCUAAAUAGUUUAAAAAAUUUUAUAACCAAAAUUCAAUUGAUUUGAAUAGCUUUACACUGUUAAACGAGAAAACGCCUCAUAUCGACCAUUAAAAUUACAAAUUUUGAAACCUUUUGAUCAUUAUGUCAAUGAUGUUCAAAAGAUUUGAAAUUUGAUUUCUAAAUACUUCAAGUGAUAUAGAUCAUGUUCAAUGGUGCCGAUCGUCGAUUUGAAAACUCCAAUAUCGAAAAUAAAUGGGUGGCAACGGAGCCCGUUUGCUACUGAUAGUAUUCCAACUCAACUAUAUAUAUAUAUAUAUAUAUAUAUAUAUAUAUACAAACACUUUAGGGUAUAUAUGCAGGAUUGCUUAUUCAACGAAGAUUUUUUUUUUGUCUCACUUUGCGAAAGUAAGCAAUUUUGCUUUAUUUUUACAUUAUUUUUUUUUUCUUUUUGUAGAUUUCUUCUAAAAAUGUAUGAUAAUCAGACAUUAGAAAUAUUGCUUGUACGUCCGCAAUUAGGGUGCAAAUCUUACCCUACUCAUCCAAGGGUGCAAACACUACUUUUAGAUUUUUAAUAUAAAAAAAAGAUUAACAAGACUAUUGUAAAAAUAUUAACUCCCAAAUAAAUAAAGUAUAAAUUUUACAUCCACUUUUUAGAUUCUUUAGACAUUGUGAGAAAGCGCCCAUUCAGCAAUAGCCUAAAAUGAGAUUGGCGCACGAGUGUAAUACAACGGGCGCUUGUCGAGUUAGCAAGACAUAAUAAGUCUAAAAUGUUGUCUUUUGUGCUAUUUAAAAAACAUGAACAUUAUAAAAAAUUGACAUAUGAAUAGAUCCUCAUUUAAUUGCCUAAUUUCCAGCUGAGCCAAUCUUUCUCUGGCACCUGGAUGUAAUUGACCGAGCAUCCAAUGUCAGAAUUAUCCAGUGAUAUCCUAUUGAGUGAUUGAGUGUCAAGAUUUUUUAUAACAAUUAAAAGUUAGGAGUAUGAUCAGACGUAUAAAAUAGAAUAGCAUAUUCGACCUUCAAAUCAUAUUUUCGGAAUAACAUAAUUAAUCUUGUAAGUAACAUUUGAUACCCCAUACCGACCGUUCCUAUAGUAAGUGGCAAAGGACUUGGUGGUUGGUACCCGAGACCCAAGUUUGAAUCCUAGUUGAUUCAUAUUUCUAGCUAAGUUUAUUUCUAAAUGAAAUAAACGAAGCGGGUAACGUGCUACCUAUCUCUCUAAAAAAAAAAAAAAAAAAACAUUUGAUACCCCACCACAUCAUGAAGACUAAGACUUUAUAGGGAACAAAAAUCAAACUCUUACUUUGUAAUUAUAUAAGAAAUUUUUUAUACCAAAUAAAUUAUCAUUGAUUUAUUCCGAUACAAGUUUUUCUUUUGUUUUUUGUGAGGAAGACAGCAUACUAUCUGCUUCGUUUAAUGUACAGUAAUUGACAAGCUACCCAGCCUAUUUCUUAAAUUCUUAGUCUCGCAUAUUUCCAAGAUACUAGAUUUGUAACUCAUUGGCUAAUUUUCAAGAAAGAUUUUCUCUCUUAUAUAUUUGGAAACUUAUUAGCCAAUGAUUUGAGUGAUUUGGGAGGAGUUCUAUAUAUAGUACGACGAAAUCAAACAAUUUGUGCUCCUUGAUUCUGGUUUAGUAAAAUCUGCCUAUCAAGCUAAUUACAAGGAUAGCCUCUGCCUAUCAAACUAAUUACAAGGAUAGCCGUUAAAUGCCAUAAAAUAAAUCCUGAACACGAAAUUUUUUUUUUUUUUUUAGAUAGAUAGGUAGUACGCUAUUUGUUUCGUUUAUUUCAUUUAAAAAUAAACUUAGCUAAAAAUAUGAAUCAACUAGGAUUCAAACUUGAGACCUAGGUACCAACCACCAAACCCUUUGCCAUUUGCUCUAGAAACGGUUAAUUUGAGCAUGAAAAGUUAAUAAUGACAAAUGAGAGUAAAAAUGAUCAUAUUUAACCAAUCAUAGUUCUUGGGGGAGAUUUUUUUUACAAAAAAAAUCCAGAGAUUCGAUAAGCUUGAAACCUUUGAAUUAUAAAUCAAUUAAACUUUAUCUUGAUUUCCUACCAAAGUAGGCACUUGUGAUUCUCAUGCUGUAAGAGGAAAUUGACGUUGUUAUCGUCUCAUUCUAUCCAAUCAGAACAAGUUCCAAAUGAUGGGAAAAGAGAAGUCAUUUGCGCCCAACGGGAAUCGAUGCUACAACUAUUAGCAAAUAAAUUACCAAGGAAGAUUCUUCAGGUACCUAGCAGUGUAUUUUUAUAUAUUGUUGUUGGCCCUAUUAAAUAUAUUGCAACUUUGAGCUGCUUAAUUAUACGAAAUAAUUAAAUACGUUUCAAAUCAAGCACAAAAGCGCAUGCAAUAAUAUAUAAGGACGAUAUGUUAAGAGUAUAUAAUAAUUUUCUUAGUUAAAAAGAAAAAUGCUUUGAAUUCUUUAUAUUUAGUUUUAUAUAUAUUACUACUGUGUUCGUAAAUCUAAGGAUGCACACAUUAAUUAGAAAAUUUACAACUUAUAAUAAUAUAUUAACAAUGCAUAAGAAGUACCUAUGGUGGUGCUCAAUAAACAAUUAAACGUAGUGGAGGUGGAGAGUUGCAGCAUUUGCCCACACGAGGACAAGGUCGAGAAUCGAGAUUGAGAGAUCGAAAGAAUCGAGAGAUCGAGAUCGAGAGAACGAGAGAAUCGAGGGAAACACAUAGCGAACAGUGUAAAACAGUUAGAAGCCCUGUGAGUGCUUCGGAAAUCAAGCACCACGAUAUCUAAUCAUAAGAUACCGAAGAGAUUGUACACAAGGAAAAGUAGCAUAUCCCAGUCAAAAUCAAGGACCGGGAAACAGUAAAGUAAAGAAUACAUUUGACACGGGGUGGAUCGCAUGUUUCUCUGUCUCCCUCCCGGCUUUGCGAUCGACGCGUCCCCUUUCCCAAAAGAACAAAAAAAGAAAAAGAAGAAGAAGUACGUACGCUUCUCCACACAAUACAUGCUAAUUCAACCCGCACACUGCUCAACAUUACUACACUUACACAAUGCAUGUUAACCAACUUUGAGUUCUAGGUAGAGUACACUAGCUUAUACAAUGCACGCUAGCCAUCUUAAUUUCAGUUAUAUAUAGGCAUGGAGAGACAGGGUGACAACAAAGGCCUUCAUGAGCUUGUAAUUUUAUUUUGCGUGAUAUCAUAUGCGGUUGUAGUUGAAGGAUGGUGAUGUAGGAGAAGAAUGGAAAGAGCGGUUUUAACGGCGGCGGGCGGCAGUCUCCCUCUGAGCGUUGAAGUAGACGGCAGCCACGGGGAGGCCGAGGUCGUUCUCCUCCGCAAAUUGACGGGUGCUGAAGUGAUCCCUGGAGGGAGGAGGGCUGACGGCCUGCCGCCGCUUCUGCUUGAAGAGGACGAAGAUGAACCUGUGGAUGCCUAUGUUGGGCCUUGGGCUCUCAUAGCUCACGAUCUCCCUCCCUGUGUACAGUACGUAGUACCAUUAAUUAAUUAAGCAUAUAUACCAAACUAUAGUUGCUUUUCGUCUUCCUCUAGUUUGGGAAAUAUGUGGCAUUAUUAAUUCUUAACAGGAAACUAGAGAUAAACACACAAGAGUGGAGAGAUGACCCACCAAAAGAAGCGUCAGUUGUGCCAGGAAUGUCGGUUACAAUCCUGUGCAAGGGUCAAGGGGAAUGGUUAAACACGUUGCCAUUGCCUUGAAAAGCAGAUAACUUUUCUUCAGUAUUCUUGAAAAGUUGAACUAUACCCAUGUUACAUGUUUGGAGGGUUUACAAAUUAAAGGCAAGUAGACAACACAACAUCAAUCUACGUGCAUUCAUGCAUGCAUAAUAAUUAAGAUACAUCUUUAAUUAAUACGUUUCUUCAUAUACCACACACAUAUUAAUAGAGGAUAUAUAUAUAGGGAACGGUUUAUAUUAGUUGUUAGGGUUUACCAGUGCAGGUGCUCCCUUAGGUAUGGAUCACUCGGACCCGGCACAUCUGGGUCUGUCAUAACCUGACAAGAAUGAAAAUAGAAGUAAAAAUACUAUAGAAGAGCACACACGUAUAUAUAAGAGAAAUUUUACUGGGAUCCUUAAACUUGAAAUUGAGAACUAAUAACUAUAUAUGUACAUGAUCGAUAUAGGCACGUACCAGUGUGAAGAACGAUCUCAUGUCUCCGCCUUGGACCUCAACUCUAGGUUUGGAUGCGACUGCGGAAGGGUAGAACUCAUGGCCAUUGAAGACCAGCUUGUUGGAAUUGUAGGUGACCACCAUCUUCAUGCUCGGCUCAAACGAGUCCAACACUUCUCCUAUCACCCUCCCAACAAUAAGAGGCUCCAGCAAUCUCGACAUGGUCGAUCGGUUAAUUCAGUCGUUCAAAGGUGAGAAAUAUAUAUAAACUAAUUAACAAGCUAUGUAUAUAUAUAUAUAUACAUAUAUAUGUAUAUGUAGGGUUGUGGAGGAAGUGGCUCGGUCGUUGCUAGUGGAUUGAGGAGGCUGUUUGCCUUUGAGAAGAAGGCUUCUUAUUGGGCAAUAUGAAAGUGCAAAGCCUCUAUUUAUAGCACUUAAGACAAGUACUGCUGUACAUCAAGUUCCAAGCUCAAAAGAGAACUGCGAAGCAGGAGCCACAAGUGUAGCAUUUUUAAUUAUAAUGGAAUAUAGAAGCUAAAAAGCAACAGGAUGAAUCUAUCUCGAUCCUACUGUUCGUUGAUAAACAAAAGAGGUCCCUUAAACCUGUUUUAUCUUCUACAAUGAACAGCUAAGUAAUCAAUUGCAUGCGCUCUUUCAAAAAAGAACUGCAUGCAUGUAGUAGCUAGCUCUUAAUUUCAGAAAGAACCUUUGUCUACUCCACUAAAAUGAUUAUCUACACUAGAUAAUAAACGCCGUUUAAUCAUGUAUUGAUUAGGUACAUUGUUAAGCUACCUAAUUAAUUAAAGUACGUUCGAGAUCUUUCAAUUAGUACUCAAAAUCGUGCCUAAAUGACUCGAAGGAUCAACUAAUUAUUAAUUCACACAUCUCGACGUGACAGGUAAUUAAGCAAAUUAAUUUAAUUAAUUAAUGAGGAAUAGCCGGAAAAGUAAAGUUCUUAACAUGAUAAUAAGUGCUUUCAGACUGAAACCGUAAAUUCUGCUUGAUUAAAAAGCCGCAAAAGAAUUUGAAAUUGGAGAUGGUUAAUUCGUUUAUUCUACUACUAACUUUUCUUACCAUUGGCCCAUAUUAAUUUGACGAGGGAACAGGUAAUGUGAACUCUCCAUAUGGAACCUUCCUAAUUAACAUCCAUUUAAUAUAUUGUUAAUUAGGAAAAGGAGGAUUCAAUAGCUGGAGCCUGUGAACAUGUAGAGCAAGCACCACACUGGAAGUAGCUGUUGCACUCUUUUUUUGUUAAGGUAAAAAAAGGUGAGUAGCUGAGUUGGGUGCUAUAGGAACCUUCCCAAACAGCACUGCACCCAAAUGACUUACCAUUAGUGGUUAUUAUUCUCUGAGAGAGGGGGAGGAGGAGGAGGGGAGAGCAUAAAAGGGAGACCCACCACCCCACAUAGUGAUAGUGGCCAUAGUGUUGAGAUGUCAUUUCAAAGUAAAGAGAUCCAUGUGUUCUUGAUAAGGAAAACAAAGGGGUUUAGUUUCUAUAAAUGGUGGAGCUAGCAAAGUACUUCUUUGUGGCAUUCCUCCACUCUGGAACAAAGAUUUUUCUUAUGUGUUACCAUGCACCAUGCACCUAUCUCAAGCAACACCCACCCAUAUUCUACCUGUUUCGGUGUCAAACUAUUAAUUUACUGUUUCAUAUUCAAACCACCCAAUAGAAACAGUUUUGGGUCUACCGGUGACUCUGGUCUCACAAGAUUAUUCUUUUAUUCCGGUGGCGACAUCCGGUGCUCGUGGGUACAAGGAAAGGGAAAGUCACUGUGGUGUGAAGGUGUCCGUGACGACAGGGGUAAAUGGUAGGUUUCCGUAGAAUAUAGGAAAAGAAAAAGUUUUUUUUUUGUGUGUUUUUUAUUACGUUGGAAUCUGUAAUGAGAUACGUGGGUUUUUCCCGUGAAAACCACGUACCCCUGAUUUUUUUUUUUCUACCCCUCCACUCUAUUCCGAGUUUCCUUUUCCCCCUCCAUUAAUUCCUCACAACGCACACAAGUACCCAACCUAAGGACAACUUAGGCAUUCUAAACAUCUCACAUAAACAAUCGAGCAGUAGGUUUCUAUUCCAUUACCUAGGCCAAAACCUAUCUAUCAAUGUAAGACAUUGUUUUUAAAGUCUAAAAAACAAAUACGAGUAAUUGAUAAGAUAAGACCUAUUGACAUCGGCUUUCAUUUUUAUAUUCGAUCUAGUUUUUUUUGAAUCCUACGAAAACAGAUCAGUAUCGCGCACCGACUACUUAUUUUUUUGUCGAUAGAAUUAUGUAUGGCUGGCAAAGAUCUCGUUCACCGUUCUUUAAACCACCAACUAUGAGCUCUAGGGUUCAAGCUUAGGAUCAACUAAGUAUAAAAGUCGAUUCAAAUAAAGAUUUACUUUAUUUGUUUCGUCGAUCGUACGAUAGAUAGAGAGUUUUUUUUUUUGUUCCCUUUAGUUCCUGAUUUAACAAUGUUAACUUUGGGCCAACCGCGUUAAUUUUAUACUCCAACCUAACCUCCUUAAAUCCUGAUUCGACAAGGGGUCACAAUUAACCAGGCAAUUACUAGUUUGUUGGAGUAUUACCUUUUUUGUUACCCGGGGUUUUUCAUAGAUCCGAGUACUCUGUUUCGGUACAACCCUUGAACACCUAAGCGUAUCACUCUAGGAAACUCUAGGUGUUGGUAAGUUAUGAGUGAAACAAAGGUGAAAUUAAAGAAGCGUUUUACUAUAUAGUUUUUAAUUAAUUGGAUGGUUGGCAGGGAUAGUAUUUACUGUUUCCCGAACCACUAACUAUAGUCUCUGGGAUUUAAGCCUAAAAUUAAUUAAGUAUAAAAAUCGAUUUAAAUAAAAAUUUAUUUUAUUUAUUUCACCCAUAUUACGAUAGAUAGAGAAUUUUUUAAAAAAUUAAUGUACCAUGACGAGUUGAAGCUAGCUUUUCAUAAUUACAUUAAUAUACGAGUCGCAGCUAGAUUUUCAUAAUUACAUUAACAUCCGGGUGACAUUGACGACAGUAAGAGUUUAGCAAUACGUUGUGUUUCCUAAUAGUGACUAAAAAGUAAACGCACUUCUUGAAGUCUUUAAGAUAGUCGGAUAAGUUAGCUUAUCUUAAUAUUAAAUCUCUUUUUUUUUUUCUUUUCACAUCGGUUAACUCGCUCCGUAUUUUAAUUCCGCCGUAUUCUCUCUCUCUUUUCACUUUAAUUUNAUGGGCGGAGGAUCUCCUCUCUCGACUCUCUCUCUCUCUCUCUCUCUCUUUAAAAAAUUAUUAAUUUACCAAUGAAUUUCGUUGCUUUACGCAUAACUGUAUACUAAUAAGAACGAGGAUAAAUCUGAUUGCCGCAGGAGAAGAUAAGCAACUUGAGCUACAUUUGAUAAAGACCCAGCAUCAGUAUAUUGGUCCCCUUUUUUUUGUUGUAAUAUGAAGUUAUUUUUAACAUAUAUGUAACUAUCGGUAAAGAGAUAUAGUUGUUACUUGAAGUUAUAAAGAUAUUACACUUUAAGCAAUUAAAUUAAAUUUUGUAUUUUAUCAAAAAAAUUAUUUUUUUUGUUUGAGAGAUAGGUAGCACGCUACCUGCUUCGUUUAUUUCAUUUUUAGAAAUAAACUUAGCUGAAAAUGUGAAUCAACUAGGAUUCGAACUUGGGUCUUAUGUACCAACCACCAAGCCCUUUGCCACUUGCUCUAGGGACGGUCGGUUUUGUUCCCUAAAUUUUAAUCUGACAAAUCAGUCUAUGGAGAGGUGGUAAAUAACGAUUUUUUUGGAUGAAAUAAAGUUAUAUAUGAA